RNAcentral lists this long non-coding RNA (61636 nucleotides) under Capsicum annuum. Lineage: Eukaryota; Viridiplantae; Streptophyta; Magnoliopsida; Solanales; Solanaceae. The record is from RNAcentral.
UUGUACCGACCUUACUAGGUCGUGGGGUGAUAUUACUUUUCUUUUAUAUCUCUCCCCUAAUGUUAUUAUUCUUAUGAUUUAUUUCUUGUAAUUCAUUUACUUUCACACCUCCAACAUUUAUGCCAUUUACACUAAGUAGCCUAUUAAUUAUAUAUUUUGGGCUAUGAUUUGGAUUAUCUACUGGUAACAUAAAGUAGGUGCCAUCAUGACUUGGGAAUUUGGGUUGUGACAGUAGACGGUCAGUUACGUUAAAAUAUAUGUACACAAAUUUUGAAAGAUUCAUUGCUGUAGUCAAUAAAUAUUUUUAUUCUUGUAUUUUAUCUUUAUUUCAAAAGUUAGUCUGUGACUUUAGUUUUCCAUCAGUACUGUGCAUGUAAUUUUUUUGUUAUGCUAGGCUAGAGUAUGGUCACAUCCAGGGUAUAGACUUAGGUCGCGACAUUACAUUAUUACACUUUGAGGAUACGAAGGUAGUUUUCGAGCAUGCGAGUAUAUAAUUUACAUCAAAACUAGAUAUAUAUAUGUGUGUGUGUGUGUGUAUAAAGAUAUAGAUAUAUACGGAUAUAUAUACAUAUAUAUGUAUUUACAUACAUACAUAUGUAUCAUGUCAGCUUGCUAAUAUAAAAGAAAUUAUCACAGUCCGAGUCUACACCAAAAAUUAGGCACAAUGCUAAGAACCACAAGUUAUCUCAAGCGAACCCUUGGUACUGGAAUAUUACUAAAAAUAAUAUUAAAAUAUUAAUUUGAAACAUAAAAGAUAACUGAAAUGGGUAACCUAAAAAUAAAUUGAAAUUUUUGAAAUGAUAAUUCCUACUAUGUCUGAAAGCCUCUACUAAAUUAAUGAAUUACUAGGACAGGACCCCUACUAACUCUAAACAACUUAAAUAAAGUCUAAAAAGAAACAAUUGGAAUUUCAAGAUGUCUCCUAAAUGAUGAGGACUCACCAAAUCAAAUACUGGAAACUAGGAUCCAUAAUAACCACUUGUGAGAGUGACUACACGAACUAUAUCAUAAUAGGAUAUAGAGCAACAAAAAGGUAUGCGGUCAGUACUAUAGGGUAUACUAAGUAUGUGAGAUAUGGUAAUCACGUAUAAAAUAGAGAGAUAAAGUAGUACAUUUAAAAUCAUAGUGUAAUAAGUAAAUUAGGUAUCAUGUUGUACAACUGGUCAUCGUUGCACUAUUGAAACAUAAAUUAACCUGCAACCAUAGAUAUACCCCUAAAAAGAGAUAUAAUAAGUGUAGUAUAAAUACAAAACAAGCAUACUGGUAGGCAUGAUCAGCUGACCAGGGUCAGAAAACAUAUUACAAUAUGUAGAAAUCAAGAAGAGAUCAUGACAAUAUAUACUUAGAAACUUAUCAUACUUAACCUGCUAUGACUUCCAACCUCACCACCUUUUAUUUAAUAGCAUAAUUACUUUAUCCUCAUAGCAUGACUAAAGGACAUAAUUCCAUGUAACAACCAAACCCAUAUCUCUUAUGAACUCCUUUAUCAUAAAUAACUCUAUACUUUUCUCUCUCUCUCUCUUUAAUACUCUAUUGUUACAACCCUCGCUACCUAUUAUGCUACCAUUGACCAUCAAAAUUGUAACAACCAAGAUAAUUAAUAAGACAAAAAAAUUUCAAAAAGAUACACUAUAAUACAUAUCAUGUAUGUAACUAUAUACAUAGGAGAAUAAGAUUAUACACAAUUUAGGGCAUACCUUAUAUUCACACUUUGCUGCAAUGUACAAUCACAACCAUCAAUUACUAACCACCGAUUAUCCUUUUUUGUACAUUUCAUUAAAAGUUAUUCAUAUCAAAUCACUCAAUAGAGUCCUUUUCCUUGGAUGAUUAUUAUUUUCAAAUAAGAUUUUAUUUUCACCUUUUUUAAUUUUUGAUGGAUUUUUAGGGUUUUGCCAGUAAAGCUUGAAAAUGAUUUUUCUUUGAUAUGGACUUUAUUUUAAACUCAUUUUAAUGUGGUUUUAUCUAAUAGAAUUCUUUAACCUUACAAAAUGUAUUUUAAAAAAAUAGUUUUGCCCCUUUUAUUUUCGAACUCGUCUUUAGAAUCUAUCUUGGACUCAGUAUAAAUAUAGGCAAUAUGGGUAUCAUUAGUAUUUUUAUUAUGUAGAUGCUAUAUUUUAAUAUUAUAGUUUAUUCUGAGGUUGUUCUUGAGGGAAAGCUCCAAGUUGAAAUACUUUAGACUAGGAUUUUAUCGUUUUGAGGUAGGUUAUGGCUUAACUUCUUUCAGAUGAGUAGGAUAGAUAUAAAUAAGUAAAACAUGCUAUGGGUUAAGGAAAAAAUAUGCAAUUUAUAUUUUGAGAUUACUUUUACUAUUGUGUGCAUGUGUAGAGCUUAUAUUCUAUUAUGGUUGAUUUGUGAUAAAUGAUAUUUUGUAUAGCUCAUAUAGAGGCUUUAUUUGCCAUUAUUGGCCUUAUCUGUGCAGCUAAAUGCCUUUAUUAUAGAUAUGAUACCCAUGCAGGGGAUUUUUUGCUAAUAUAGGCCUUGUUUGAGCAUUGAUUUCCUAUAUCAUGAUAAAAUACCCAAGUAAGGGGUUGAUAUGAUAUUAAUGAUGCCUUACAUGUAUAUUUAUUCUGGUGGUGCGUAAUUGAAGUUGAUGAAUCAUGAAUUGUGGACAUAUUGAGUUAAUUUUUGGUCUCACUUAUAUAAAUAUAUCCAUGUUGGAUCAAUAGGAUAUUAUCAUAUUGAUUUGAUUGUGAGCAUUACAUCCUUAUUUUUUACAUAUACAUUCAUGAGAUAUUAGUACUACUGAGAAAUACAUUUUUGAAAGAAAAUAAGACACUUUUAUGAAAACUCUCUCUAUGAACACGAGUCGGAGAGGUGAGAAGAGUUGAGAUUUAAAUUAAGAUAUAGUAUAUGGGUUUCAAAUCCCCCUAAAGUCCUACUUGGUAGGUGCAAGCUCGAUGGGUGCAUACAGAAAGUAAUGUGAUGACUUAAUCAUUUAUCACAUCUACAUUACAUUACAUUGUAUCGCACAUAUAUUUUGUUUGAUUUUCCCAGUUUUAUUGUCUUGUAAUUAGGUUCAGUGUAUUUUUAUAUAUGUGUGUAUGUGUGUAUGUGUUGUUCAGUUUCUGUGUGUAUAUAUAUAUGUGUGCGUGUCUUUGUGUAUUUGUGUUGAGCUAUCAUUUGGGACUUUUCUACUUGCAGGUGAUGUGCUCAUAGUAAUUUUACUUGCCUUAUUUCCUACUUUGCUUAUUCAGUCUAUGAUACCUACUAAGCCUAAGUGGACCGUACUCACCUUUAUUGUCCCUUCCGAUAUAGAUUUGAUUAUGAGUACAAGUUGUGGUAGCUGACUUCGUAUAGAUUUGGAGUAGUGUUUGAGGUACUAGGUGCUCUAUGAAUUUCAGGGUUAACUCCAGGCCACUUCCUAUUUUAAUCUGUAUUUAUUUUGGUUUCAGUGACAUAUUUGUAUUUUCAAAUUUGGUUAUAUACUAUACACUUUUAUAUUAUGACACUAGAUUUCGCAAAUUAUGAGAUUUCUUUCAACCAUCUACUUUAAUUAUUUUUACAUAUUGGCUUGAAUGCAUUCUAGAAGUCUUGGUUUUGUUAUGUUGUUAUUGAUUUUAUUUUUUCUUUGUCAAUUUGGGUGAUUGGCUUACUUAUCAACGCUGAGCCACGAUAGGUGCCUUCACGACCCUUUUUGGGUCAUGACAUGCCAACUAGCAUACUUUUUAUAAACUUUUAAGGUUACUAUUGUAAUGACCCUCUAAGUCAUUUUCUAUAUUUCUUCUCAUUUUGUGGUUUAGAGCUUUCUUAUAGCUGCCCCAAGUCAUUUAUGUCUUUUUGGAGCUAACAGUUUAAUUUUUGGGUAGUUCAUUUGGUUUUUAGAGCUAAUUUCCUACUUUAGGUCUUCCCUUAUUAAAAUUGGCUAUUGAUAAAAAUCUUUACUCGAAUGACCAUAUAUGAUAAUUAUUACAGUUCUAAUAGCUCCAGAACACCGAUUGUAGGCAAGGUAGACCCUUGGUUUGGGUUCUUAGGCUUUGAGCUUAUUUCAGGCUAUUGGUCAGAAGUUAAGAAAAAUAGCACAUAGGUAUGGGACCUACUUUUCAUUGAAAGAACCUUGGAUGGAAAUUUUGGAUGCGCCAUUGAGUCUAGAAUGUCAAAUUUGAUACGGUAUAAUAAAUUUUUUGUGUAUAUAGGAUUUCAAAUGAAUCUCGAGAAGUCGUAGAGACAUGGAAAUUUCCAAGUCUUCAGCUGGUGUUGGUGCAUUUACUUAAGUGGCUAGCCAGCCGCUUAAGAAGCCUGACUUGCUCAGAAUGGUAUCUCUUAACUGAUGCCUUUAUUGCUUAAGUGUGGCCACUUAAGUGGAUAAAUUUUGAUGAAGAGACAUGCACAAUAGUCGAAUAAUGUCGCUAAAGCGUCACUUGGCUGCUUAAGUAACACUUGGCACUUAUAAAUCCCCCACUUAGCCUAUUUUCUCCCAUUUUCACCCAUUUCCAAGAGAGCGAAACCCAAGAAGGUGUGAAAACUUGAGAGAAGUAUUUGUAAGCUCGAAUGACGCAUUUCUUCUCUGAAUUCUAAGUGAGUUUUGAUCAAUUACAUGGUUAAUUUCUUAUAAUGUCCCCAAAAUCCCUAGAAAAUUGGUGGGUUAAUUGUAGCACCAUUUAACCUUAGAAUUCACCUAUUAUUGAGGGUAAAUAUUCCUUAAGCUUAGAAGAAUGUGUUAUCAAUUUUGAAAGUGUGAUUUUAUAAGUGGGCCCUACAUGAGAUUUUACAUGAUUUUGGACCCAAAGCACAAAAGUAUAAUAUGGGUAUAGUUGUUAUCAUUUUUAUAAGUAGAUUAUGAUUUUGAUAGAGUGGCAUCUUACGAAAGCUUCUUGGAAAGGAGAAUCGAUGAUUUAGUGGAUUAUUCGGGCUAUUCUUUGUUGUCCAGAUUUGCUAGGUUUACCAUCAUCAUAGAUUGAGCUAAUUCAUAGUAUAUUUAUGAUAUUAUUCUAGAUAUAGGAUAGGAAUUUGGUCUUCAAGGUAUAAUAGGUAUAAUUAGUUUUAGUUGGAUUGUUUAGCUUGUUAAGGAACCAUAAAUUAGGCGUAAUUGAUUUAGUUGCUCAUGAUUUAGAUAGAAUUGCAAUCUUAGGGCUAAUUGUUGCUUAUUUAACAUCUAAAAGUGAAUUUAGAUACCUUAGCCUAGUCUGAUUUAAAAUUUGCCUUAGAAUGUAUUUCAGGGAUUAGAAGUAGGCCCCUUCGGUCAACCUUAGGCCAAGAUUUGUGUUAGCUCUUGUAGACUUCUAGGUUCAUAUUAUGCCCUUUAAAUUGAUUAUUUUAGAGUUUGAGGAGACUAGAUACAUUAUAUUUAUGCUAGUUUGGUACUUAGAAGUUGGUGUUAAUUUUAGACUAAGUUCAGCGAUUUAUUGAUAUUGAGUUCUGGUUCAAGUCCGACAAUUGAUGAUCAUAUAGAUGACAUGAGUUUCCAUUUAAGUUCAACAAAUGAUGAUUAUUGAUAAUGAUAUUGAGUUUUGAUUCAAGUCCUACAUUAAGAGUUUAUUUAUGAUAUGAUACGGUAUGGAUAGAGUCAUAGUUAUGGAUUGAUAUUUGGUAAAUUUAUGAAAUUUUGGUUAUUUACUUCCUUGAUUGCACCAUCUAGACUUAUAGAGAUUGCAUUGGGUUUUUACUUUCCUAUAUUUACUGUCUUAUGGGGGCUAGUCUUGUAGUAUUAAUAAAGCCUUUUUUUCGUAUUAUACAUAUUCUAGUUAUUUAUUUACAGUGUUGGAGCUUAUUUCUAAGUUUUCCCUUUUACUUUGGCUUGGAUUAUUUAUCUUGCAUCUUAUCGUACUUAUAUCAUGAUGCCUACUAAGUACCCAUGGUUUUUGUACUCAUACUACACUUUUGUACCUUUUUGGUGCAGAUCUGAGUACUAGUAGUAGUCGUUGAUUUGACAAUUAUAUUGAGUUUAGUUCUGAGAUAGGGUGAGCUCUUGAAGUUGGAGUUGCCCAUUUUUGUUCUACUAUUUGUGUUUAGUUUUUCACUAUUCGAGACUGAUGUAUAUUGAUUUUUACAGUACUUAGGUUCCUUUUUGCUAAUGGCUCUUAUAUCGACACUCCUAGAUCGUACAAUGGUUAUUGAUGUUUUAUUUAUCUUUUAGACUAUUAUUAUUACCUUAUUAUUAUAAUAAGUCUUUGUUUGCAAACUUCUCAGCUUUUUCACCUUUUCCAGCAAAUUAUUCCAUUGAAUAUAUCUCCUACCUUUUGGUGGAAUAAAGUAGGUGCCAUCAUGACUCAUAAAAUAGGCCGUGACUAAUUGGUAUAAAAGACUAGGUUCACUAGAAUUAUUGGUACAAAGAGGAAGUAUCUAUUAGAGUCCCGAGGUCAAAACAAUGAUGUAUAUUUCUUAUCUUCGAGAGGCUAUAGGACAUUCUUAGGAUUUUUUCACUUAUUUCAUGCAAAGAUUCUAAGUUGGUUUCUAAAGAAUUCCUUUGGUUUCACCUUUUCACAGAUGACUAGGACACAUGCUACUGCUAUAUGAGAUGAGGACCUCGAGUCUGUGACUAGGGAUCCUAUAGUAGUUUUUGGAUGACCUAGAGGUUGUGGGAAGCCUGAAGAUGUAUCCCUAACUAGGGUACAGGAUAGUGGGCCUUCACCAGACCCUAUUCUUACUCUCGAGACAAAAAUUUUUCCUUCUCAGCUAAUGGUGGGCCAGGGACCUUACCAGGCUCCAUCGAAGUUUAUUUCUUCUUUAGUGCUUAGUGAUUCAUUAUUUCAUUUCUUAUGAUUAGUUGGUGGUGUACCAUUAAUAGUGCAUAGUCUGUAGAUCAGAGUGGUAUCAAAAUAGAGGUGUAACCUGUAGUUGCAGUCCUUGGAGUUGAGGUACCUCCUGCACUGAUGGUUACUAAUUUGGUAAUUGCCCAGCCUAAUAUUUCUAUUGAGGAGCAGAGGAUGUUGGGUAGAUUAUUGAGAUUGGCUCUGCCUAGGCUUUCUGGUGCACUGGGCAAGAAUGCCUAUGAGUUCUUGAUUGCUUUUAAGAAUAGGGUCUGUAAUUUAGACCUAGUUGAGACUCAAGGUAAGGACUAAACUAAGUUUUAGUUAGACUUAGUGGCUCGACAUUGGUGGAGAGGUCAUCUUGAUUCUAGGUCAGUCGGAUCUUCCCCAUUGAUAUGGACUCAGUUCUCUGAGAUCUUCUUGGAGAAGUAUGUGCCUUGAAGUCUUAGGGAUCAUUUCAGAGAUCAAUUCUCGAGGUUGAAGUGGGGCUCCAUGACUGUCGUGGAGUAUGAGGAUUGAUUUCAUGAGUAUAAGAGGUUUUGGUGUGUUGUUCAGGGAUAAAACUCCCUCUUUGCAUGUUGAAAUAGAGUUUGGUUGUUGUGGGUAGGCCUUUUAUUGAGGUUUUUGAUCAUGCUCCUAUUAUGGAGGAGAUGCAUUAUAAGGUGCAAGGAUGCAACAAUAAGAUCUUGAGAUAUUACGGUAGUUUCAGUGGGAGUCGUAGUGUCUUAUAGUUUAGAGGUGGUGGUUCUCAGGGUAGGUACGCUCCGCAUCAGUCGUAUUAGCAUCAGGAUUAGUCUAGUAGGAACGUCCAGGCCAUAGUUUAGAUCACUAAUGGAUGUCAAUCUAGUUACAAUAAUCAUCCUAGCCAGAGUAGUGGUCAGACUCUGAAGGGUUCAUAGUUUGGUUAUUCUAGCCAUGAUGGUUAUUCUGGGUCAACCAAAUUUUUUGGUUUUAAUACAACACCAGGGCAUGUUAUGGUUGUAUGGGUUUUGGCCAAUUCUCGAGAGAGCGCCCCAGUUAUGGAAUAGUAAUCCCUUUAGUUUAGAGUGUUCCAUUAUUUAGGCGGGUGUAGUUAGUUUUAUGUCGUACCUGCUAAACUCGAGGCAGAAUCUUUGAAUGUUGUUAUCACAAGUAUGAUUUUGGUAUGCUGUCAUCUGGCUUUUGCUUCAUUUGACCCCAAAUCCAAUUAUUCUUAUAUGUUUUCUUAUUAUGCCCUAUGAUUGGAGUUAUAUUGGGAUUCUUUAUCUUUGUCAUUAUGUGUGUCUCUCCCAUGGAUGAUUUUAUAGUAGUAGAUCGAGUUUAUAUAUCAUGUGUUGUGAUUGUUCAAGAGUUUUUUGCUCUUGCUAAUCUUAUUGCGUUAGACAUAGUAGAUUUUGAUAUGAUUUUGGCCAUGGAUUGGUCAUCCCACUAUCAUACGGUCUUGGAUUAUUUUACAAAGAUUGUUACCUUAUCCAUGCCUGGUAUACCAUAAAGCUAUUAGCCACGAGUCGAUGGAGAUUAUUUCUUAUAUUCGAGCAAAGAGUCUUAUUUUGAGGGGUUGCAAGUCUUAUCUUAGUUAUAUUUAUGAUGUUAGUGUGGAGAGUCCAUCGCUUGACUUUGUUUCUAUAAUUCACGAGUUUCAUGAUAUUUCCCUGUUGAUCUACCUGGUCUUUCUCCAGAGUGUGAUAUUGAGUUUGUUAUUAAUCUUGAGCCAGGCACUCGAUCUAUUUCUAUGUCACCUUACUGUAUGGAUCCUGCCAAGCUUAAGGAUCUAAUUUCUCAACUUUAGGAUCUUUUAGAUAAGGGUUUUGUUAGACCGUGUGUGUCAUCUUAGGGAGUACGUACCUUGUUCGCAAAAAAGAAGGAUGGUUUCAUGCAUAUAUAUAUUGACUACAGGCAGUUUAAUAAAGUGAUAGUGAAGAAUUGGUAUCUUAUGACUCGCAUUGAAGAUUUGUUAACUAGCUUCAGGGUGCAGUAGUUUCUCUAUGAUUGAUUUGAGAUUGGGUUACCAUUAGUUGAGGAUUCGAGUUAAGGAUAUCCAAAGACAAUCUUUAGGACCUGGUAUGGUCAUUAUGAGUUCUUGAUGAGAUAUUUUGGGUUGAGCAAUGCCCUAGCCAUAUUUAUGGAUUUGAUGAACUGCGUGUUCACACAUUAUUUGGAUUCCUUUAUAAGUGUGUUCAUUGACUACAUCCUUGUGUAUUAAGGAGUAGAGAAGAGCAUAUAUAGUAUUUGAGGAUUGUGCUUCAGACUUUGAGAGACCAUAGGCUUUUUGCCAAAUUCUCUAAAUGUAAGUUUUUGUUAGAGUCUGUGACAUUUCUUGGGCAUGUGGUGUCUAAGGAUGGGAUUAUCGUAGACCCAACAAAGAUUAAGGCUAUUCGUGAUUUAGCUAGGCCUAGAUCUUCAUCUGAGGUUCCUAGCUUCAUUACUUUGGCUAGUUACUAUAGACGAUUUGUUGAGAGUUUUGCCACUAUUGUAGGGCCGAUGACUAGAUUGACUUAGAAGGAGGUUUAUUUCUAAUGGUUCAAGGAGUUUGGAUUGAACUUUGGGAAGCUGAUAGGAUUUUUUUACUUUAGCUCCUAUAUUGGCUCUUCCUGUCAAGGGUGAGGGAUUCACUAUCUAUUGUGAUGAUUUUGGUGUUGGUUUUGGUUGUGUAUUGAUGAAGUAGGGUCAAGUUAUUACUUAUGCAUGAAGGAAGUUAAAGGUGCAUGAGUGCAACUACUCCGCUCAUGAUUUAGAGUUGGCAUCAGUAGUUUACGCACAUAAUAUUUGUAGGUGUUAUCUUUAUGGCAUGCAUUAUGAGAUUUUUAUGGAUUAUUGUAGUCUUCAACAUCUUAUGACCUAGAGAGAGAUUAAUCCUAGGUAUUAUAAAUGGAUGGAGUUUCUUAAGGAUUAUGACAUCUUUAUUUUGUAUCCAGGCAAGGCAAACAUGGUAUCGAAUGCUUUGAGCUAGAAGGUGGUGAAUAUGGGUAGUUUGUCUUCUAUAUCAAUCUCUUAGAGGUCGUUGACAUUGGAUAUGCAGUCCUUAUCCAACAUGAUGGUGUGACUUGAUAUUUAAGAUCCUAGGAGGAUUCUUGCUAGUGUUGAGGUAAGGUCUACCUUAUUUGAGUAGAUUCGGAGUCGUCAGUUUGAGGAUAUGAGACUUUGCAUCAUCUGUGAUCAGAUGUUAAGUGGUGAGUCCAAGAGAGACACCAUAUUCUAAGGGUGUUUUGAGAUUUGAUAGCUGCAUUUAUGUUUUGAUAGUUGGAGACUUCAUUUAAUCAAUUUUGCGUGAGGCGCACGACUCUUGAUAUUCUAUUCACCCGGGUACAACUAAGAUGUAUAGAAAUUUGAGACAACAUUAUAGAUAGAGUUGUACGAAGAGAUAUUUGAUGGAUGUUGUAGCUCAUUGCCUAUGUUGUUAGCAGGUGAACGCCGAGCAUUAGAGUCCUUGUGGCUUGAUUCAAAGAUUGUCCAUUCCCAAGUGGAAAUGAAAGCGGAUUACCAUGGACUUUGUUAGUGGUUUGCCUCUCACCUUCCAUGGUUUUGAUGGUAUUUGGGUCAUUAUGGAUUAGUUGACUAAGUCGGCAUAUUUUAUUCCUAUUCAGAUAUCCUUUAGUGCUGAGAGGUUAGCCCAUAUCUAUGUUCGUGACGUAGUCUGUUAAAAUUAGUGCCCAUAUCAAUAUUUUUAGACUAAGGUUCGUUGUUCACUCCUAGAUUUUGAAGGGUUUUUCAAAAGGAGUUGGGUACUCAGGUGGAUCUUAAUAUAGCCUUUUAUCCUUAACCGGCGGGCUGUCAGAGCAAACUAUUCAGGUUUUCAAGGAAAUAGUCCUAGCCUGUGUUAUGGAUUUUGGAGGUCAGUAGGAGCAAUAUUUAGCCUUGGUGGAGUUUGCAUGUAAUAAUAACUAUCAUUUGAGUAUUGAGAUGGAGCCUUUUUAGGAUUUGUAUGGUACCCGAUGUCGUUCUAUUAUUUGGUAGUCUAAGACCUCCGAGAUUGGGCCUUGUCGUAUUGACUUGAUUUAGGAUCUGUUGGAUAGAGUUAGGGUGAUUCAAGAUGGGUUGAGGGUAGCUCAGAGUAGGAAAGAGGCUUAUGCAGAUUGUAGACUUCGUGCCUUAUAAUUUAGAGUUGGUGAGAAGGUAUUCAUUCAAGUAUCUCCCAUAAAGGAUAUGAUAAGGCUCAAGAGGAAAUGCAAGCUUAGACAUAGAUAUAUUGGACCAUUUGAGAUCCUUCUCACAGUUGGUGAGGUGGCUUAUGAGUUAGCUUUGCCCCAGAUUUUGCUGUUAUUCAUUUGAUUUUCCAAGUAAUUCUAUGAACAAUCCUUUGCAGAAUUGGAUUUUUUUAUAGUGGAAAAGCCAUGUUUCUGUGUUGUGAUGGUACAUCCCAAAUGUGUCUCAUGUGCUUAGAUGGGACUCAGGUCAGUUGGAUGAGCGGUUGACCUUCUUGGAAGAGCCGAUUUCAUAUUAGCCAGGGAUUUCAGGCAGUUGCCUACUAGAAAGAUUCUAGUAGUUAAAGUUUAGUGGAGAAAUUAUCCAGUAGAAGAGGCUACUUGGGAAAUCAAGAACCAGAUAUGGGCCCAGUAUCCUCACCUAUUUGAGGCUUCAGGUACAUCCUAAUCCUUUACUUUUGCUAAGGAAAGUCAUUUUAGUAGUGGAUAAUAUAAUGACCCUCUAGGUCAUUUUUUGCAUUUCUGCUCAUUUUUUCCAUUUAGAGCUUUCCUAAAGCUGCCCUAAGUCAUUUAUGACUUGGUUGAGCUGGAAGCUCGUUUAUAUGGCAGUUUGAUUAGAUUUUAAAACCAAUAUCUUAAUUUGAAGUCUUCACUAGUUAAAAUUAGCUACAGGGCAAAAGCAUCAGUCUAGUCUCGUGUUUCAAUUUCGCAAUUCCAACAGCUUUAGAAUGUCAAUUAUAGGUUGGGUAGACCCCUGGUUCAGGUCCUGAGGCUUUUGGGUUAUUGGUCAGGAGUUAAGAAAAACAACACAUGGGUGUAGGACCCGCUUUUCAUUAAAAUAACCUUGUAUGGAAAUUUCAACUUAGCCAUUGAGUCCAAAAUGUCGAAUUUGAUAGAGUAGCAUAGUUCAUUUAUGUAUACAAAAUUUUGGAUUAAUCCCAAGGGGUUGGCAAAGACUUGGAACAAUUAAAAGUCUCAGCUAGUGCAGGUGCACCGCUUAAAUACCCUUUUAGGUCUCUUAAUUUAAAGGGCGAUAAAGCGAAUGGUCCAUCACUUAAGCGAUUGAGCUGGCCCAGUGGAGGUCCGAUUAAGCAAAACCCCUACCUCUUAAGCUAAAACACCCUAGUUUUGACCCUUAGAAAUUCCCCGAUUUUGAGCUUCUGGACAUAUACGACUUAAGGGUACUUGUCGUAUGAUGUGGGUACAGUUUUGCAUCCUCAAGUUGUACUAUAAUUAGUGUAGUUUGGUUGGUUUCUUUCCAAGUUACAAAUGGACAUCAUAAGAGUCAUAUGGAGAUUGUAUGAGUGGUAUAGUCCAAUUCGUAUGUUGAUCAGUUUCCACUCCCUUUGAUUUUGUCUUGGAUACGGUUUGAGGGUACAAGUCGUAUGGUAUGGGUACGACUUGGGCAAGGGAAGUUGUAUGGUGGACAGUGUAUGAUGUCUAACAUUCUUUCUAGGGUAUGAGUGGUGGGUACCACUCGUAUGUUGUUGGUACGGUUUGGGAUGGUGGAGUUGAUGCAAGAGAAUGCCCUGCUAGUCUUUGCUUACAUAGAAGAAUAAGAUGUAGAAUGGGAUUUCAAGGCAAAAUAGCCUAUAUAAGAGAAAGAGUUCCUCACUAGACUUUAAGCUGGGGAAGGCUAGUUCAAGAACUAAAAAGAUCUCACUUCUAUUUACUCAGACGCCUCUUUCGUAUCGAAGACUCUGGUAGCUAGAACUCCAUCGGCAGCGACUCUUACCACUGCAACCUAGGCACUCAUUCCUUGGAGAUGAUCUGUCAGUCCACUAUUACCACAAACCUCUACUUUAAACUGAAGCGACUUCGUUCAUUCCCGAGUCGAUAAUUGCCAUAGGAUGGAACCCAGUAAUGGCACAUCAGCUUACCGAUUCCUUAAUAAGCAUUCAUUCCUGGACUUUACAAGUUACAAGUUAUCCCCAUAUGGAGUCCACCCAAUGGAGAAAUCCAAUCCAAUGGGUCACUGGACUGGGCUUGACAUCAAAGAUAGAGUGUAUAAGCGCAAAAAAGGAAAAUUUCCUGGGAAAACAAUCCCAAGGGAAGCUUCUCGCUAGUGCUUUACCCCACCACUAAACAUGGUAUUGCUAUGGUCAAUAAACAGCCUUAAAGUGGUUCUGAAUGACUUUGAGGAGGAUCCAGAGCAGAACCUUUCUCUCUCGAAGGAUCUAUGAAAAGAACAUCCCACUACGAAUUCCUAUCCCAUUAAUAAAGUACAGAUAAAUAAUAUAAUCCAAGUCUGACUUUUAAAGCAUAUGCAUUGAAAAAAACCUUUGGCUUCAGACUUUCUGCUUUGAUAGAUCUUUCAUCUCAAAAUAGGUUUUACCUAACCCAUUAUGUCCUUUGUUUCAUACCCAUUUUGAGGAGCGGGAAUCAUCGAAUUGAAAACCCUUUCUUCUGCCCUCGCCACUUCUUUCGCUGACCCUAUCCACCUCCUUUGUGGAAUACUAGAAAAAGAGAUGAAUUAGCGGAUCAUAGGGCUAAGUCGAAGCAUGCCUGAACCUUCUUCGUCGGAGACUGAGUUAAUAUACAAUCCCACUUUGGAGACUUCUCUUCGGGAUAGGUAGGAUAUAGUGCCACAAAUUAUAGUCUACUUGGCAUGCGUCGAUUCUUUGCUGGAGAAGACUAGAUCACUAGUUUUGGACUAUCGAGAAAUCCCCCUCUUUCUACAUCCCUGGAACUGGCUUUGCUUUUUUGCUUUAAAGACCCCGCCUACUUCACACCUUCUAUAAUAGGGGAAAUACUUCUUCAUGAGUACUAAUUUGAUUAGCAUAAACGAUCCUCUUUUGAGCCCUUGAGAUUUUACAUAUCAUCUUCAGAAGAUUCAAUUGGAUCAUUCUUGGAACAGAAAAAUGAGGAAGAAAAGAUAGAGUGUGCUCUAGAACUCCAACACUUGGGUUGAACAGAAAAGGCUCAAUCUUUCUCUAUUCAGGAGUAAGAAAAAGCAAAUGCGAUCGUCGUAAGAUGCCUUGGAAUUCCAUUCUGUAGGGAAGGAGGACCUACUGAAUAAGCCUCCAAUCAAUCUCCGGCGGGUGAGAAAAUGGAUUUGCCUCUUUCAUUUAGUGUUCAUUGUCUAAUCGGAUGCUUAACCCCCGCCCCCAACUACGGGGGAAGUUACACUUUAACUUCCUGCCUUGACCUAGGCCUCAUAUCUAUCGUUCUGUCCACUGAACUCAUCAAUCAACCUUGACCUUGACUCUCACUACAUACGCCAACUCUAUGUAUUAAUGAAAAAGCUUUAUCUAAUAAAGCAAAAAUAAAACUAGGAAAGUAAUCGAACAGACGAGGCUCUGUAAGAGAAGAGCUAAUUGGAGUAUGCCUGGAACGAUGAACGAGGAGUAUGAGAAGAGAGUUUCGAAGGUCAGAUCGGGUUGGCUGGUAAAGCUUGUGCUCCAGGUCAAUCAAGACUACAAACUAGUACUGCUAACAAAGUGAGGCUGCUAAACAAGAGCUUGUUCUGAUUCUGGAUAUGAGAAUAAGAAGAAAAGAAGUACAAGAGGACAAGAAGGAGAAGAGGCGAGUACAGUUUCACUUAAGUUUCACUUGCUUGGUAACCUUUUUCCCGGUCAGAGAUAGGAAAGAAUCCAAAGCUUGCAAGGAUAUUAGGCUUCGAACACUGUUACGACUGAUAAAUUGGAAAGCUAGGAUGAAAUAUCCUACCUUGAAUAUAAAAUCAAUUACCAGAUGGGCUGGCUGGCCUACUUGUAUGUAAUAGAAUUGAAAUCAAGGCAAAUUCCCCUGAUGGGAGUGAAUAAAGGGAUUCCCCGAUGAACGAAUGCAAUACAUGGAAGGCUGGAGGAUAUAGUACUGGAUGGCUUUACCUACGACAUUUCCUACUCUUACUUUUUAUACAAAGAGAAUGGGCAGCCUAGAAAACUUAGAAUGAUUACAGAAUGCUUACCGUCUUCGAUUCAAUUUAUUCUAAGUGGUCCAUUGGGUAAGCAGCUGAGGGAAGAGAUCUAUACCCAUUACCGUAGCUAAAAGGGUUCCCUUUCUUACUUGAUUGAGACUGAGAGUCAGGGCAUCAGAGGUCUUAGAAAUCCCAUCCCUAACGAGUUAGAAGUGGAACAAGCGUUGUUAGCCUUUUGCUUGAGAGUUGGACUUGUGAAGUCAAAGACUUCAACCUGCUGCUUGACUGCUCGACUUGGCUAUUGAAGAAGCUAUUACCCCCUAGGCACCAGGAAUAGGCAAAAAAAGAUGGGCUUUCCUCCAAUUGGCAUGAUUGAAAUAGACGACUAGGAAGGUACGAAGUGACUCGACUCUAAAGGAAAGAAAGGAGGCCAUUGGAUGAGGUUACUUCGUUCCUCAACUUUUUGAAUUUCAUUCUCCCAGGAAUUUGGGUUGCAACCAAAAAUAAAACUUAGUAUCACUCUAAUCAGCUAUGAUUCCUCUUGUAGAAAAGAAAGAUACAUCUCUUUUUUAUUCAAAAGCUGUCGUGCAUUUGUUUUUUAGAUAGGUAUACUUGGGCCUUCACUGACUAUGUGAGGACUUUUUAGGAAAAAGAUGUCCAGCCUACAAAAUGAACUAAAGACUAUCUGAUGAAAAGAUUUCUCAUAGUCAAAAUAGCCGAUAAAAGAAAAAGAGCAGAAGUAUGACCUUUUUAGGAAGAAUAUAAAUAAAGCAAGAUUUUGACCAGGCACGUAUCGAAGGAGAAAAUAAGGAGGUAGCAAUAGCAUUAGCAGGAGUAGCAGGAAGUGAACGAAAGUUAGGUUGUUCUCAAAUCAGCGCACUAGGAAUCAAAUAUUGAAGAUGAUUUCCAACAAGCGCACAUCAUAGGUUGUUAGCAGGAUAAGGCAAGAAAGAUAUUGAAUCAGUUUAAAGAGCAUUUAUCUAAGCUAAGCCCAGUUAAUCCUACUAUCUUUAGGAUCUAAGCUUGGCCACUUAUAAGUCUCAAUUGAGGCAGAAAAAAGACAUAUUCUUAACCCGAUUGGGGAUCUUGCUACAUAGCUUUAUAUCUAAUCAGCUGAUAUACUGAUGCAGGAAAAUUCUUCUAAAGAAGACGUGUUGAUCUUUCUUUCCUUCACUAACCCCCAUAGUUGAAUAAGAAAGUUUCGUCUCCAGUUUAGGGAAAGGACAAAGGAAAGAUUCAGCGAAGGAUAAGGUGGAAUGAGAUCCUUCGGUUUAGCUCCUUUAGUUAAGGCGCCCAACAAUUGAGUUCUGUAGCUUAGGUAAGCAUCCAUGAGAGGUCUUGUAGUGCAUCCAUCUAGAACAGCCCUCAAAACGAUCCAAAAUAAAAAUAAUUAUGGUCAAGCAGGGAUCUCACCAGCGGUAAAAGCGAGGAAGACCUAUACUAUUAAUUUCUCUAUACUGAUACUCUACUCUAGACAGCCAUAGUCUCUAGAUAACCUUAACCAAGGUUUCGAUUCUGAUAUACUAGCAUUGUCUUCCCUAUAGAGAAGAUAGACUGGUCUAUAAAAGCUUCUGGAACUAGAAGAAGGAAUGUUGGAGCUAUUCCCUUAGUGACAUUAGCAUCUUUCUUUCGAAUAUUUGGACAUUGUAGGCUCUCGUCCAACAAAGGAUUGGGAAAGAAAAACUCAUAUUCCUGAAUAAGGAGAAAGUCUAGGAAGAUAUCAACCAUGGAUGGAAGGUCUCUUGUAAGCUAGAAGGUCCUACUAAGUGGUCUAAGUCAAACCCCUUCCUUGAAUAGUUAAGGAAAGCUUUCAUAUAAUGCCUUUGUUCAUUUCGGACUCUUUGACUUACUUGGGACUUUAACCUGGAAUUAGUGGGGAGACUGCUGCUACUACUAUUUCCUUGCUGAGGGAGAGAUGGGCGAAGGGUAGAUUUUUGAUCUAUUUCUAAGCCAGGAAGAUGCCUCUUCUUUCUUUGACCUUCCCACGAGCUUCGUAUAGUUUGUGGGGAGUAUAGUAUAUAGAAGUAGGAUUUGGUAUUUGGAUAUUUUUUGUAUCAAUGAUCUGGUGAAUUAUCAAUGAUUUAUUCUUAGAUUUUCUAAAUAAUGAAGAGAUAAAAAAUUUGCACUAUUAUGAAAUGUUGAUUGUAAUAGUAAUAGUAAUAAGGGGUAAAUCAACUGAGUAUUCAACUUUUUAAAGUCUUUCUAAUUUCUAUAAGAAAGGAACUGAUGUAUACAUAGGGAAAGCCGUGUGCAAUGAAAAGUGCAACCACGGCUUGGGGAGGGAUCUUUACUUGUUUAUUUUAUUUCAGAUUAACAUUAAUUUUAUUUAACAAGGAACUUAUCUACUCCAUCCGACUAGUUCCAGGUUUGAAUCCCGAGCAACCCACUAUCAUAUCGAAAUUAUAAUUCCUUGUAGAGAACUCCAUAUUUUUCCAAUCAACUUCAAACAAAAUUAAAACAGAUCCACAUACACCUUGGUUGACACGAGUAUAUAAGUCAUGUUAUACUGUUGAAUAACAAGCAUUCUAUUUUGAUUUGUAGAAAACUCAUCUGCUUGGGAGUCCCUGAUGAACAAUAAACCAAGAUUUUACCAUGACUGCACUUUUUAGAGAGAGGUAAAAGCGAACCCAAGCUUAAGGAGCUCUGAGCCCCAAGCCAGCACUUGUUACUCUCUUGUUAGUGAUCAUGUUUGGUAGAUCUUUGGUGUAUCGACAGUCUUCCCAGUUUUCCAUUCGAUAGAUCCCACAAAUAUGCUGUGAAUUUGUGCGUGCCUAUUCUUCAAUCCAAACUGGUGAUUCACUACAUUCCCUUCUCUAGUCAGGAAUAGAGUCAUGGAUUCCCAACUCAAGAUAAGUCCUAAGGUUCUGUUAAAGUAUCCUUAAUAGAAUCUCUUUCUCUAGAAUCCAGGCUUGUAGAACUUUGGCGAAUCAACAGGGUUUCUUUCGUAAUUAGGUUAUUCUCUGAACCUUGUUUGUUACUGAGCUGGGUAACUAAAAUAGGAUUGUUUGUUACUGACCCCACAACUUAAAACACUACUAGUACUUUAUUUACCCUAUUCUUCUCAAUCAAAAACACUUUAAACACUCUCAAAUCUUUCUCAAGGCUCUUGGUUUAAGAAAGGCUAAGGUUUCUUUAAUACAAUCGAUUUAGGUCAUACAAAGGUGGGUUAUCUCCAUACUUUUUGGUAUCUAAGGCAUAUUACUUCUCUCUCAUUGUUAGUUCAAACAAAAAAUAUGUUUUCAUGGAUGCUUUACUUAGUAUUGAUGUUGUAUUGUUUGGGGCUUUUUUAAAAUUAUGUUGGGGGGUUUUGUUGUUCUUUUUUGAAUAAUGUUUUCCCAUGUUUUAUUAUGGUUUUAAUAUGAGAUUUAUGGUUUUCAACAACGUGGUUGCAUGGGAAUAGUUAAUUGAUACUUGAUUUUGGUUUUGGAAACUAUAUGCCCUAAACAUGUUCUUUAAAGUUCCUAUGAGAAUGUUUUUAUCACAUAGCUUGGCUUUUAUGGAAAACUUUGCAUUGCAUGAUAUGGUAAUGGAACUUAAAGUAGGUUUAAAGGGUUAAAUGGCAAGGCCUUGGUGGCCAUAGCUUAAAUGAAAAACUUUGUGGGGUACACGGGAAUCCCCUAAGUGAUUUUAAUAAUGGAGACUAUAGGGUACAUUGGAAUCCCCUAAGUAUUGGCUAAUGACAUUACUUGCAAGAUAUAGUUGGUAUGACGAUACCACUUUAUAUGGCCUUGGUUAUUAAUAAAUGGAAUUACUAGUUUGGUUAUGUGCUAAAGUUUUUAAUUGUACAAUAAUGGCGGGUUGUGAUAGCUAACCGUGAAGGUGUCAGUCUAAUGGACGCACUCAUGUUUGCUGACAUGAGGGUUGGUUAUGGUGACCAUAUACUUGUGGGGUACAUGAGAAUCCCCUAAGUUAUACUUGUAUUUAUGUAUCAUAGUGGGUGAAGGGUACACUGGAAUCCCUACCCCUAUGAUUUCUCUGGUGUAUGCGACUACAGGUAGUGGGGCCCAUUCAGGGGGUAACACUGACCUAUAUAGCCUGUGGGUGGUUUUAGGAUAGUCAAGCUACGUAACCCAAGUUAAAGAUUUAAAUGCAUGCUAAACCUGGUUUACUUUCCAGGUAUGGAAUAUAUAUAUAUAUAUAUAUAUAUAUGUAUGGAUAUGUUUGCAUAUGAUUAUUUUCUUGGUUUCUAAUGUUGGCAAUAUUUUAUCCUUACUCCUAAGUACAUGCUAGUGUUCACCUCUAACCCGUCUUCAGGCGCUAUGUCUCUAUACUUUGUAGGAACCAUCCGUACUAUUACUCUUGCUAAUUGAUCUUGGAUUCAGGGAUACCUUUAAGACGGAUUGAAGUGGCGAGCAUCUAUAUUAUAAAAGCCUCUAUUUCAUUUUAUGGAUCUCUCUACAUACUCUUGCUAUUUCUUAAGCUUUGGUUUUUAGCUAUGGUCAGGGGCAUAUCCCAACCGAAUGUUGUUUUGAUUUCUUAUAGAGGCUUUGUGAGACUACUUUGGGUUGGUAUAAACGGUGUCAGUAUUAGUGCCAGCCUUGGCAUUGGUAUUGGUAUUGGGGCUAACAAAGUUUGACUGUAUUUGAUUUAUGAUUUUUCCAUCUUGUCAUGUUAUAUGAUCGAGAUUCAUCUGACUUAAGGUGCAAGGCGGUAGGCUUGGUAUUAGGGGCGGUCUCUAGUCUUGGAUGGGGCUUGAGGCACCCAACACAAUUAGGCCCUCGCUCGGGUCAUAUUAGAUUGGUAUAAGAGACUAGGUUCAUGGCCAAUUGGGAGUUCAUAAAGCCAUAUCGAGUAGAGUCUCUUUUAGGGGUCUGUAGCAUGCCACACUCAUAAAUUUUGCUACAAGGUAUUUAGGAAUGUUUCUCUUUCUUAUGUUCUAUUUUCAAGAUGUAGAGUCUAAGUUCUUGAAUUCUCCUCUAAUUUUAGUUUUUCUGCUCUUCAUAUCAUGCCUCCUCGAUGAUCUAAAGCUCAUGGAAACUCCUCUUUACCAACUAAGGACAAUGCUGAUGGGACCUGUGCUACUUAUUGGGUCCAGACCCGAUCUAGAGGUCUUCUUUCAGAUUGUUCUGUAGUUUCACCGAUUCUUUCUUGUCCAUCUCAAGCUUCUUAAGCUAAAGUGAAGAAUGUUGAGUUUUGUCAAUCUAUUCAUAUGUUGGAACAGUUGGUAGCUACGUAGUCUGAGUGUGGUGUUCCUGUUACUCUAUCUUCUGGGGACACAAGGGUUGGCCAGUUCAUGAGGUAAAACCCUCUAACCUUUAUAGGUGUUAAGGUGGAGGAGGAUUCUCAAGGUUUUCUAGAUGAGAUAAAUAAUAUCUUUAGUGUUAUGCAUUCCAUGAAUAUGGAGGGUAUGGAGUUUGCCACCUAUAAGCUAAAGAAUGUGGUGCACCACUGGUACGAGGAAUGGGAAUAGGCAAGGGGUGAGAAUAUUAAGUCAUCUCUGUGGGAGGAUUUUUCUAAUACUUUCCUGGACCACUUCUUUCCUCAGGAGUUAAGAGAAGCAAAGAUGGAAGGGUUUAUUAAUUUGAGGCAAGGUAAGAUGUCUGUCAAGGAGUAUGCCUUGAAGUUUCACUAAUUAUCUCAGUAUGAUCUGGAAAUGGUUUCUAGCAUUAGGGAUAAAAUGAAGAAGUUUUUUUUUGGGUUAUCAGAGAGUUGAUAUUAGAGAGUAAGGAUGCCCUGUUGAUCAAGGACAUGGAUAUCUCUAGGUUGGUUGUGUACAUGCAAUAGGUAGAGGAAGAGAAGAAGAAGCAGGCUAAAAUAGGAGAGAGGUAGGGUAAGAAGUUUAAGUUCUCUGAGUAGUGUGGUGGCCAACAGUAGAGUGUCACGGAUGGUGGUAAAUGGCCCAAGAAGAAGUAGGGAAAUUUUGGUUCUUACUCGAUGGUUAGUACUCCCUACCUAAAGCCGUCGAGUGAUAAACAUUUUCAUGGUGGCAAUAAUUUUACGGUAUAGGGUGCCUAAUAUCAUGCUAGUAAGUCCUAGUCAACUCUAUCAUAUCCUUCCUGGAGGUUUUAUGGUAGAUUUCAUUAGGGUUUCUAUGAUGAGGUAAGGGAUAAGUGCUUCAACUGUGGUCAGUCAGGGCAUAUGCUUGGAAACUGUCCUAUUGUUAAGGUUGCUUCCGGGGCGAACAAAGUUCCAGCUACCUCAUCAUCAGCUCCGGCACCAAAGGGUGAACUAUCUAGUUCUGGCAUUGGUCAGAACCACCUUUAUUCUCUCACUACCCGAUAGGAGUUCGAGGCAUCGCCUAAUGUUGUUAAUGGUACAUUGAAACUCUUUUCCUAUGAUGUGUACUAUUUACUUGAUCUGGGGUCCUCUUUCUCUUAUGUGACCCCAUUUAUCGCUGUGUUUUUUGGAUUUGGUCCGAAGUGUAUUUCGGACCCUUUUUUUGUUUCUACCCUGAUAGGUGACUCUGUGAUUGCUAGAAGAAUAUAUAGGGAGUGUGUGGUAUCUGUUGGUAGUUAAGAAACAUUGGUGGAUCUGUUUGAACUAGAUAUGGUGGAUUUUGAUGUCAUAUUGGGGAUGGAUUGGUUGCAUUCGUGCUAUGCUUCUCUAGAUUAUUGGACUCAAAAGGUUGUCUUUAAGUUUCCUAAUGAGCCAUUUAUUGAGUGGGAAGGUGGUUUCCUAGAUCCUAAGGGGAAUUUUAUAUCAUAUCUUAGAGCUCAAAAAUUAAUCUCCAAAGGGUGUCUCUAUCAUCUAGUCUGAAUUAAGAAUUCUAACUCGUAGGGUCCUUCUUUGCAUUCCGUCCCAAUGGUAAAUAAAUUUCUUGAUGCCUUUAACGAUGACCUUUCUGGUGUUCCUCCUAAUAGGGAGAUUGAGUUUGGGAUUGAACUUGUUCCAGACACUAGUCCAAUUAAUAUUCCCUUGUAUAUAAUGGCUCCUUCUAAGUUGAAAGAGCAUAAGAAGAACCUCAAGGAUCCUUUAGAUAAGGGUUUCAUCCAUCCUAGUAUGUCCCUGUGGGGUGCAUCAGUGUUAUUCGUACAUAAAAAGGAUGGUUUCCUUCAAAUUUAUAUUGAUCAUCGAUAGUUGAAUAAGGUGACGGUAAACAAUAAGUAUCCUCUUCCUAGGAUAGAUGAUCUGUUUGAUCAAUUGCAAGAUGAUAAGUUCUUCUCCAAGAUUUAUCUUCUAUCUAGGUGUCAUCAGUUAAAGAUUAGGGAGGAGAAUAUCCCUAAGACUGCCUUCUGUACCCGAUAUGGGCAUUUUGUGUUUCUGGUUAUGUCUUUUGGGUUGACCAAUGCCCCUUCGACAUUCUUGGAUUAGAUGAAUAGGGUCUUCCAUCAAUUAUUAGAUUUGUUUUUCAUUGUUUUCAUAGAUGACAUUUUGGUGUACUCAAAGAGCGAGGUGGAUUAUGUGAAUCACUUAUGCAUUAUAUUACAGACCUUGAAGGAGCAGAAGUAGUAUGCUAAAUUUUUUAAAUGUGAAUUCUGGUUCAAUGCUAUCACUUUUCUGUGUCAUAUCAUUUCUAGUGAAGGGAUCAUGGUAGAUCCGCAAAAAGUUGGAGUGAUGAAAAAAUGGCCUAGACCCAUGACUCCAAACGAUAUUUGGAGCUUCUUGGGUUUAGCUUGUUACUAUAGGAUGUUUGUGGAACGUUUUUUGACUAUAGUUUCCGCAUUGACUAAGUUGACUCAGAAGAAGGUAAAUUUCUUUUGGUCUGAUGCUUGUAAGGGAGUUUUGAGAAGCUGAAGGAUAAGCUAAUGAUCUAAGGUGUAUUUAUGCACCUUAGUGUUUAUCCUAGCUUAAUUAGCCUUGUUUUGAGGAAUUAUUAUGUGAUUAAUAUGUUAAUGAUGAUAUAAUUAAGCAUCUAAGUGUGUAAGUAUGUGAUUACAAUGUUAAAGGUAUCUUUCAAACAAGUUUGUACUUAAUUUGGUCACCUAGAGUUUCAAUGAGAAUACUAGUGUUACUAGCUUAAGCUAGGUGUUGUUCUAGUCUAUCUCGAUGGAUUCUAAUGUAUUUAUGAGUUCUAAGGUUCUUAUUGCGUAAUUAUAUAUGUAAAAACUCUUUUAUAAUGUUCAAUGGUCAAUUGAAUCAAGCCAGGAGUCAAAACAACAAGUUAAAGACCAACGUGGGCAAGCCUAGUCUUAGCUCGAGUUUUUAGUUCACUGUUAUGGAUGUUGUGUUGUUUUAAGGUCUAAUCCAUGGUGUUUGAUGUUAUAGGAUACUUUUUGAGUUGAUUAUGAUGAAAUAUGAAUUAUAUAAAAGCUGUAAAUCAAGUGGAAACAACACCACAAGGUUGGGAAUGGAUCAAAAAAAGCAUAAGACAUGACUCAACGUAAAGUUUGACACAUUGGAAUGACCCCCGCGAUGCGCCCCUUAGUCCACCGACGGCAAAAAGCCUUGUCCUAUAAAUAGGACACUUGAACUUGUUGUUACGGACUUUUUGACGUCUUUGGACUUAGAUAGAGGAUGCUAAACAAUUAUUUUGGGUUUAUUUCUCCUUACUUAAGCUUUUUAAUGGAAUAUAUCAUGUAUUCAAGAAUCUUAAUUAACGGUUAUGUUUAUUAGUGGCUAAACACCCCCUUUCCAGGGUUAAGGCCAAGAACAUGUUUACUUUUGCUUUGAAAUGAGUUUUUUUUGGAUUUCUUAUCAUAUUUGGAUGUUUUUUAUCCUUGUUUUAACUACUAAAAGGAGUAUCUAACCUUAGAAUAUAUAUAUUAUCAGCCUUGUGAUCUCGAGAGAGGGAAUAGGAAGAUAGGAUGUGGUGAUAAAUAGAGCAAGGCUCUUAUUCUUUUAUAAAAUAAGAAAUUUGAAUUAGCAUCUAGGAUAGGGAUAUAACUAGAUACCUUGUUUGGUUCAUAUGUAGGUUGAUAGAUUCAUGCAUCUAAUUGGAUUAUUAAAUCCCCUCUCAACGAUGUAGUUGUAAUGUCCAGUUAGGUAGAAGGUUAGAGGACGAGAGGCCAUAAUCAUACAAUAAAUCCUAUGAAUCAACAACCAAGAUAAGUAAUCUAACAAAUUAAGUUCAAUAGCAUAGUAUAUUUGUUCUUAGUGCUUUAACCCCAGAUUUUCAUCCAUUGGUUGUCCAAAUCUUUACUUUUACGUACUGUUUACAUUACUUUUAGUUUAUAAACUUUCAAAACUAUCUUGGUUACCUUUGCACCACUUUAAUCUUAAUAAGUUGAACUAGAAUAGGAUAGUUGUUAACAAAACUCUCUGACGGAUUGAUAUUCGUCUUUAUUUAAGGCCACUAUAUUACUUGGUUAGACCAUGUACACUUGAGUGUGCGCUUGGAGGCAACAAGUUUUUGACGCCGUUGUCGGGGACUUAUAAUUGGGCAACUAUUUUAUUUUUAGUUAGCUAUAUUGAAUUGUACAUAGUUUAGUUGUUUUUUCUUUUUAUUUCCUUUAUUUCUGUUAUCACACUUCUUGCUAUGGCAGCCUGAGAUAGAUGAUUUAUGAGGGAUGACGAUUCUUUUUGUUUUUGUGGAGGACCCCACCAAGAGGCUUUUUGUCUAUAUUUUAAUGGAAGCGCUUGGAAGGGACAUGCUUGUUUACAACCUUUAGAGAAAACCUCAAGUUGAUGUGUGGUUUGUGGCAAUAUGUAUCACUCUGCAGAUAUCUUUGGUACUAAUCCUAAUUUAUUCAUGUUUGUGGGCGUUGCUCAAAAUACAACUAAGGAGGUAGAUGAAGAGUUGACUCCUUAACCAGUUAUAUACAAAGUUGCUGAUAAUUCGAGGAAGUCUGAGUACUCGAAACAUAAAGUUGCUAAAGAGGUUAAGAAGAUACCACAACCACCAUCUCUGUAGAGAUUAAGUAAAGCAAAGGAGGAUACUAGCUAAUGUGUGGAGAAGACAUAAGAAUCAUAGCCAUUCAUUUGUUAUCUAUCUCUUGAGACUAAAAUUGAGAAGGUGAAUAAGAGUGAGUGUAUCGUGGAUUGUUUAAAUUUUUGAAGUGGGAUUGAUUGGGUCUCACUUAAAGCACUUUUCUACGUUAUGUUUAGAUUAUGUCUAGUCUGUGGAAUCAUCUAAAAUAGUGGGAAAGUGUGAGGAUGAGGAAUAAGAAUCCUAUAUUCCUUAUUUUGCACCAGUUAAGCAACAUAAAAACACACCUCACUUCAAGUACGAGUGGUUUACAAUGAACCAUCCAUUACUUGGUUCCUUAAUCUUUUUACCACCACCCUAUGAGUGAAGUAAAAAGAUGGAUGUGAAGUUGGGGGUGAAAUUCAUAUCCUCAAAGUGGAGGAAAAAGUUGAUUCGGUCAUGCCGUGACAUUAAAUCAGGCAUUGCUUGGGAGACAAUCCAAGUUAAGGUAUGUUUUGUUUUCAAUAUUUUUAGUUUUUACAUUAAAUCAGGCACUCCUUGGGAGUCGCAGGUUGAUAGGAGUCUGAAUACUGGAAAAUCUGAGCUAAGGAGCAUGGUAAAGACUGAGUGUGGGGUCCCCAGAACCCCUUAAUGCAAGAAGAUGCUACAAGCUAGGCCUAGAGGCCUCAGGGAUUAUUUCUAGGGAAAAAGGUCAAAAAUACCCUUCUACUCUGAAAAUUGGCUACCUUUACCCCCAGUCAUACUUUGGGGUCAUAUUUACCCCCGCCGUUAAGAAAGUUAUCAAAAAUACCCCUCUUUUUAACACUUUUCUAUCAUGGCAAAAUCAUAGCCAUGUGGCAUGACAUUUGGAGUGAGAUGGAUGCCACAUGGCAUGCCACCUUAAUGUCAUACCUUUUGUUUUAGAUAAUUUUAAAUUUUUUUCUUUAAGUUUUAUUAAUUAUUUAAUUUUAUUAAUUUUAAAAAAUAUUCAAAACAACCAACUCAAAUUGAAGCUCACCGAAAACAAAUAUUGGAGUGCUUGCGCAUCACUAGAGUAGUUGGUUAAGAACUGGAAAGGAAAAUACAAAAACAUUACAAGGUAUUACUAUACAAUCUAACCUUGUGCUUGACUUUUGACAUCACAAUUCAAUGGAAUGGUGUGUAUAUCUGUGUACCUAACUAUCUGGCAAGUAUUGCAAUAGUAAUGUAUCUUUUCUUAGGCUUGAUUUUUAACAAUUCGUUCAACUGAGUGAUGUGCCUUUAUUCAGUGUACAUAAAGAAAAUACAGUUCAAAUAAUUAUUGGGCAUUCAUUAUGAUGUAGUGAAUAGAGGGCAACAUGCUGUAGAGUAUUGAAAGAUAUUUAGAGGUCAAUUUUAAAGCUUGGCAAUUGCAUAUGGAGGCAACUUUAGGUCUUUCCAAUCUUCAUCAUCCAUCUUGGAGAAGUAACGAUCAACAUCACUAUCUCUAAUUAGUUCCAGUCUGGAUGGCUCCCACUAAAAACAUGUAAAAAGAGGAGCACAAGAAUGAAAGAAGCUUUCAAUAUCUUAGAUCAGGAUUAUCCGUGAUCAAAUGAAAAUAAUGCACCUUAGGAUCUUGUUGUUCAGUUCAAAAUAAUAAUUUAAUUGUUACUAAUUAAAAUGUUAUUUUGAAUAUUUUUAAAAAAAUUAAUAAAAUUAAAUUAUUAAUAAAACUUAAAGAAAAAAUUUAAAAUUAAAAAAAAGUAUGAUGUUGAGGUGGCAUGUCACGUGGCAUCCAUCUCACACAAAAUAUCAUGCCACGUGGCUAUGAUCUUGCCAUGGUGGAAAAGUGUUAAAAAGGAGGUAUUUUUGAUAACUUUCUUAACAGUGGGGGUAAAUAUGACCCAAAAGUAUGACUGAGGAUAAAGUUGCCCAAUUUCUCAAUGUAGAAGGGUAUUUUUGACCCUUUUUUCUUAUUUCUAUCUCUACCUUUACUGUGCACUUUGGGGACAAAUUAUAUUUUUAAGUAUGGAGUUAGGAAAUUCCCAUUUUUAGGGUAAUUUUUAAAAAAAAAAUUGUUUUAGGAAUAAGUGAGAUGUUCGUGUUGGUGCUAUAUUUGGCUGCAUGAUGCAAGUGUUUUGGUUGUAAAAGCAUGUUGAUUGUGUGAAUUACUACUUUUGAGACUACUAGGCUCAUGUUUAUGACUCCUUUAGUUGUUGGCUUAAUAUGAAUUCAUGUGAUUGUUUGGUUAAAAGUCUAUGAUAAUCCUACUUGAGUUAAGCAUGUGCCAUGUGUGAUGUAAGGUUGUUGUAUAUUCCAUGUUGCAUUUGGUGCUAGAACUUGUGUGGUGUGUGUACAAAGCAAAAUUAAAAGUGUGAGUUUAGGAGAAGAUAUAGGCAUUUCUUUGAUAGCCAAGUUUAUACCUUCUUUUUACCUACCCUUGUGCAUAAUCCUAGUUAGCCCCAUUGAGCCUUUCGCUUAUUCUUUGGAAGCCUCAUAUGUAGCCUAAUCCCUUUUUUGAUUGACAUUAAUUUGAUCCAAAGAUCCUAAUGGCUUUAGUUUAUAAUUAAUUGAGUGAGGGACUGGAAAUUCAAGUAGGAGAAAGGUGAAAGUGAAUCCCCUAAGUAAUAGUUGUUGGUGUUUAAAAGAAAAUUAUAUGUGCUGUGAUUGGGAGUUGAAUAAUGUAAAGAGUAAAAAAAAUUGUUCAAAUUGAAAAAGUUGUGUAUAUAGAGGACUCCCACCAUAGUGUAUAUAAGUGAGCUUAAUGAGAUGGGGCAAAAAUGAAAGAAUAGGGUAGACAAAAGGGGUGUAAAGUGGUUAUUAAACGUGAGCUGAAUGACAUGUGUGAUGUAUUAAAGUGCUUAGGGAAGAUAGUCACUAUUCUUGGACAAAAUAGUUCCUACCCAUCCCUUAGCUUACAUUACAACCAUUAAAGAACUAUUUGAUUUAAGCUUCAACAUUCUUCUAUUAGUGAAGUACUAAACUCAAGGAAAGCCUAUGGUUCAUCUUUUGUAACUUGUGAAUUCCUUGUGAGAGUAAGAGUAACUUAAUUUUUGUACCCAUUCUGUUAUAAAUUGCAUUUAUGUGAGUGAUUUGGGUAACUCUGUUAUGUUGAGGAAACAUGUUUGAUGAUAGUGAGGUGAUUUGUAUGAUUUCUGUGACUGAACAAUAUGUAUGAGUUUUCCAACUUAGUGAGUCAAUUCUUGAGGCUAGGAUGUUUUGAAGUAGUGUUCUUAAACUCUCAAUUGUGUACAUAACAUGCUUAUUGUAGUAACUUGCAUUGUGUGUAGUCAUCAUAGUACUAUCUUAAGUGUCUUACAUGUGGUAGAAGUGUAGUCACCUCAGCUUAUAAUGCUAAUAGUGAAGAUUUGUUCGAGGACGAAUAAAGCUUUAAGUAUGAGGUGGAUUUAUGCACCUUAGUGUUGUAUUCUAGCUUAAUUAGCCUUGUUUUGAGGACUUAUUAUUUGAUUAAUGUGUUAAUGAUGAUAUAAUUAAACAUAUGAGUGUUUAAGUAUGUGAUUACAAUGUUAAAGGUGUCUUUCGAAUAAGUUUGUACUUAAUUUGGUCACUUAGAGUUUCAACAAGAAAACUAGUGUUACCAGAUUAAGCUAGGUGUUAUUCUAGCCUAUUACGAUGGAUUCUAAUGUGUUUAAUUAUUUCCUAAGGUUUUUAUUAUGUAAUUAUGUGUGUAACAACUUUUUAAAAUGUACAAGGGUCAAUUUAAUCAAUCCAAGAGUCAAAACAAUAAGUUAAAGAUCAACGUGCUAGUUCGUCGUUAAGGAUGUUGUGUUGUUUUGAGCUUUAAUCCAUGGUGUUUGAUGUUAUAGGAUUAUUAGUGAGUUGAUUAUUAUGAUAUAUGAAUUAUAUAAAAUCUGUAAAUAAAGUGGAAACAACACCACAAGGUUGAUAAUGUAUCAACGGAAACACAAGACAUGACUUGGCGUAAAAUUUGACACGUUGGAUGUCACUAGUGUGUGUAGGACCUUGGAAAUGGAUUUGGGGUGCGUGCUAUGCAUAGGGAUCUUCCUUAGGGACCUAUAAUAGUGUCCCAUUUCUAUUAUCCCACUUCGCGAGCCCCAUACCAGCGGAAUGACCACAACGAUGCGUCCUUUGUUCCACCGACGGCAAAAAGCCUUGUCCUAUAAAUCGAACACUUGAACUUGUUGUUAUGGACUUUUGGACGUCUUUUGACUUUGAGAGGGGCUGGUAAACACUUAUUUUAGGGUUUAUUUCUCUUUAAUAUAGAUUUUUAAGGGAUUAUAUCAUGUAUUCAAGAAUCUUGAUUACUGUUAUGUGUAUUAAGAGCUAAACGUCCCCUUUCUGGGGUUAAGGCCAAGAACAUGUUUAAUUUUGCUUUGAAUUGACUUUUUAUGGACAGCUUAUCAUGUUUGGAUCUUUUUUAUCCUUGUUUUAACUAUUUUAAGGAGUAUAUAACCUUAGAAUACAUAUAUUGUCUAUCUUGUGAUCUCGGGAGGGGGAAUAGAAAGAUAGAACGUGGGGAUAAAUAGAGCAAGGUUCUUAUUCUUUUAUAAAAUAAAGAAUUUGAAUUAGCAUCUAGGAUAGGGACAUACCUAGAAUCCUUACUCUAUUUACAUGUAGUAUGAUAGCUUCAUGCAUUUAAUUGGAUUAUUAUUUCUCCGCUCAACGAUGUAGUUGUAAUGUCCAGUUAGGUAGAAGGUUAGAGGUUCAGAGACCAUGAUCAUACUAUGAACCCUACUAAUCAACAACUAGAAUUGGAUCCGUCAGGACUGUAGCGUAGUAUGAUUGUUCUUAGUGCUUUAACCCCAGGUUUUCAUCCAUUAAUUAUCCAAAGUCUUUACUUUUAUGUACUUUUUAUUUUACUUUUAGUUUAUAAACUUUCAAAACUAUCUUGGUUACCUUUACACCAUUUUAAUCUUAAUAAGUUGAACUAGAAUAGGAUAGUUGUUAACACAAGUCUUAGAGGGAUUGAUAUCCAGUUUUUUUUAAGGUCACUGUAUUACUUGGUAAGACCACGUACACUUGCAUGUGCGCUUGGGUGCAACAACUAACUUCAACUUCGGUUUUGACUUUGCCUGAGGUCACUGAGGUGUUUGUGGUCUAUUAUGAUAUAUCCCGUGUGGGACUUCACUACGUCUUGAUGCAGCAUAGAAAGGUGAUAAAUUAUGCCUUUAGACAGUUAAAGGUGCAUGAGAAGAAUUAUCCAACUCAUGACUUAGAACUAUUAGUUGUGGUAUUUGCAUUGAAAAUCUGGCGUCACUAUCUAUAUGGAGUGGAUAUGGAUAUCUUUCCUGAUCGUAAGAGCCUGCAGUUUGUAUUUACUCACAAAGAGCUUAACCCAGGCAGAAGAGAUAGCUUGAGCUUCAUAAGAAUUAUGACAUGGGUUUUCACUACGAUCCAGAUAAAUCUAAUGUAGUUGUUGAUGCUCUUAGUAGGUUGUCCAUAGGGAGUUUAGCUCAUGUGGAUAACAAAAAGUGGGAGCUAGUAAAGGAUAUUCACCAUUUUUCUAAUCUUGGAGUUUAUCUCUUGGUCUCCGAGGAUGGAGGUGUGUUCAUUUGGGAAGUGGUGCAGUCACUUCUUGGUGCUGAAAUCAAGAAGAAUCAAGUGUUAGAUCCUAUACUGAUGAGGAUCACGAGUGACAUUGGUAGGCAGAAGGUGAUGGCUUUCGAGAUUAGUGGUGAUGGUACUUUGUGGUACCAAGAGAGGUUAUGUGUUCCUGAUGUAGAUGGUUUCCAAUAAAUAAUCUUGGCUGAGGAGCAUGAGUCACGCUAUUUUGUACAUCUUGGUAGAACUAUUAGUUGUGGUAUUUGCAUUGAAAAUCUGGCGUCACUAUCUAUAUGGAGUGGAUAUGGAUAUCUUUCCUGAUCGUAAGAGCCUGCAGUUUGUAUUUACUCACAAAGAGCUUAACCCAGGCAGAAGAGAUAGCUUGAGCUUCAUAAGAAUUAUGACAUGGGUUUUCACUACGAUCCAGAUAAAUCUAAUGUAGUUGUUGAUGCUCUUAGUAGGUUGUCCAUAGGGAGUUUAGCUCAUGUGGAUAACAAAAAGUGGGAGCUAGUAAAGGAUAUUCACCAUUUUUCUAAUCUUGGAGUUUAUCUCUUGGUCUCCGAGGAUGGAGGUGUGUUCAUUUGGGAAGUGGUGCAGUCACUUCUUGGUGCUGAAAUCAAGAAGAAUCAAGUGUUAGAUCCUAUACUGAUGAGGAUCACGAGUGACAUUGGUAGGCAGAAGGUGAUGGCUUUCGAGAUUAGUGGUGAUGGUACUUUGUGGUACCAAGAGAGGUUAUGUGUUCCUGAUGUAGAUGGUUUCCAAUAAAUAAUCUUGGCUGAGGAGCAUGAGUCACGCUAUUUUGUACAUCUUGGUUCAACGAAAAUGUAUCAUGACCUAAGGAGAUGUAUUAGUGGAACACUAUGAAAAGGGACAUGACUAAUUUUGUGGCCAAGUGCAUGGUGUGUCAACAAGUGAAAGUUAAGCAAAAGAUACUCGGAGGAUUGUAUCAAGAAAUUGAGCUGUGUGAAUGGAAGUGGGACAUUAGUCGAACCAGGAUGGCAGUUGCCUUGUUCAUAAUGCAUUCAUUUAGACAUUUUGUCAAAUACUUGAGAGGCAUGAACUUGUACAUGAAUGGGACCACAUGAUAAUAUGUCAUGAUUUCACUAGUCGAUUUACAUAGGCAUUCAAUCAAACACUUAGGGGGCAUAAUUAAUGUACACAAUAAUGGUCAACAUAUAAGCAUUAUGAAUACAACACUCAACUUGAAAAUUUCAAGGGUUUAACAUGAGGAUCACAUAAUUCAACACAAAUACUAUCUUAAUUUUAUGAAACUUGAAGUUAAUCAUGGGUUGAAACCCAAACAACAUCAUGAACAUGAGUACAAUCUAAUUCAAGAAUGGAAAUCACAAAUCUGAAAACUUGUAUUUUUAAAAAGGGUUCUUGGACUCCAUGGGUGGAAGGGCCAAUGGAUAAACACCUAACACACUAGAGAAGAUGUGUUCUUGAAGUUUCAUGGUAGAUUUCUUGAGAAUUGCUCUUGAUUCUUGGAGGCUAGGUUUUUCUAUUUUGAGAGAGAAUAAUCUUGAUUUGAGAGGAAUUGAGUAAAUAAUCUAAUAAGGUUAUUAGGGUAUUAAUCCCCCUAUUUAGGCUGCUUAGGGUCACAAAAAAGACCAAACAACCCCUGGAAUAAUUUAAAUUUUUGUCAUUAAAAUUCCCAAUUUUGGCCUUCACCGCGAUGUGGUGGCAUCACGAUGAGCCACUGGAAGUUUGGAUGGAACUGUUUAAAACCGAACAUUUACAAAACUGAACCUCGGCGUGAUGCGGUGGAAUCAUAUUGCAUCACUUGAAAUUAACAAUUCUGAACUGGAACUAUGGCGCGACACGGCGCCAUCAUGGUAACACACAUGAAAAGGACGAGUAUGAACUAGAACUAUGGAGCGAUGCGAUGGAAUCAUGGUGUUUCACUGGAAACUGAUGAAUACCAUUUGGCCAGUCACUGCAACACGAUGAUAUCGCAGAGCCUGACUCCCAAAACUAAAAUCGCCAUAACUUUUUUACGGGAUUAUCGAAUUAUGGCAAAUUUUAUAUCGUUCGAUAGCUGAUUGAAUUUCCUAUACAAUGGUGGGUCUUAAACUGAAAAAUUUUAAGAAUUUUGAAAGUUUUAUGUAGGAAUUCUCAUGUACUGAGAGCUAAACUUAGCUAGGAAAAUAUGGGGUAUUACAACAUCUCCGCCUAACCAAGCUCGAACCACCUAAUAGGAGACCUAUACCUACUACCAUAUAAUGCUUCAAAUAGAGCCAUACCAAUACUAUAGCUAUUGUUGUAAACAAACUCUAUAAGAGGUAAGUACUCAAUCCAAUUACCAUCAUAUUCAAUCACACACGCACGAAACAUGUCUUCCAAUGUCAGAAUAGUCUUUUCUGAUUGCCCAUCCAGCUGCGAGUGAAAAGUUGUACUAAGACUAACCUUAGUCUUCAAGCCUUUCUAGAAUGACAGCCAAAAAAGAGAUGAAAAUUGUUUCCUUUGAUAAGAAAUGGUAGAAACAGGUACCCCAUGCAACUUCAAAAACUUCUAGAGGAACAACCUCACAUAAUCCUCAUCCGAGAAGUUAGUCCUCACUGGAAAAAAGUGAGCCAACCUAUCAAAUUGAUUUCGAGAUCGAGGAAGACCAGUAACAAAAUCCAUGUUGAUCACUUCCCACUUCUAUUCAGGAAACUAAAUUUCUUGAUACAAUCCUCUGGGUCUCUUGUGCUUAACUUUCACUAGUUGACACACCAUGCACUUGGCCAUAAAAUUAGCCACGUCCCUCUUCAUAUUGUUCUACCAAUACAUCUUCUUACGUCAUGAUACACUUUCAUCAAACCAGGAUAUACAAAAUAGCAUGACUCAUGCUCCUCAUCCAAGAUUCUUUAUCACAAACCAUCUACAUCAGGAACACAUAACCUCUCUUGGUACCACAAAGUUCUAUUACCACUAAUCUCGAAGGCCAUCACCUUCUGCCCACCAAUGUCACCCUUGAUCCUCAUCAGUACAGAAUCUAACACUUAUUUCUCCUUGAUUUCAACACCAAGAUACGACUGCGCCACUUCCCAAAUGAACACACCACCAUCCUCGGAGUCCAAGAGACAAACUCAAAGAUUAGACAAAUGGAGAAUAUUCUUCACUAGCUCCUACUUUUCCUUAUCUACAUGAGCUAGAUUCCCCAUGGAAAACCUACUAAGAGCAUCAACAACCAUAUUAACCUUACCAGGAUCAUAGUGAAAACCCAUCAUAAUCCUUGAGAAGCUCAAGCCAUCUCCUCUACUUAAGGUUAAGCUCUUUCUGAGUAAAUACAUACUGCAGGCUCUUAUGAUCAAGAAAGAUAUCUAUAUGCACUCCAUAUAGAUAGUGAUGCCAAAUUUUCAAUGAAAACUCCACAAAUAAUAGUUUCAAGUCAUGAUUGGAUAAUUUAUCUCAUGCACCUUCAACUGUCUAGAGGCAUAAGUUAUCACGUUUCCAUGCUUUAUCAAGAAAAAUCCAAGUCCCAUACGAGAUGUAUAGUAGUAGACCACAAAUACCUCAAUGACCUCAGGCAAAGUCAAAACCAAAGUUGAAGUUAGUUGUUGUGCCCAAGCGCACACGCAAGUGUACGUGGUCUUACCAAGUAAUACAGUGACCUUAAAAAAAAGCCGAAUAUCGAUCCCUCAGAGACUUGUGUUAACAACUAUCCUAUUCUGGUUUAACUUAUUAAGAUUAAAGUGGUACAAAGGUAACCAAGAUAGUUUUGAAAUUUAAUAAACUAAAAGAAAAAUAAACAGCGCAUAAAAGUAAAGACUUUGGACAAUUAAUGGAUGAAAACCCAGGGUUAAAGCACUAAGAACAAUCAUAUUACGCUAUUUAGCUUUAUUUAUUAGAUUACUUAUCUUGGUUGUUGAUUGGUAGGGUUCAUAGUAUGACCAUGGUCUCUCAACCUCUAACAUUAUACCUAACUGGACAUUACAACUACAUUGUUGAGCGGGGAUGUACUAAUCCAAUUAGAUGCAUAAAGCUAUCAUACUACAUGUGAACCAAGAAAGGAUUCUAGGUAUAACACUAUCCUAGAUGCUAAUUCAAAUUCUUUAUUUUAUAAAAGAAUAAGAACCUUGCUUAUUUAUCCCCAUGUUCUAUCUUUUUAUUCCUUCUCCUGAGAUCACAAGAUCGACAAUAUAUGUAUUCUAAGGUUAUAUACUUCUUAAAAUAGUUAAAAAAAAAUGAUAAGCAAAUAUCCAAACAUGAUAAGUAAUCCAUAAAAAAUCAAUUCAAAGCGAGAUUAAACAUUUUCUUGGCCUUAACCCCAAAAAGGGGGCGUUUAGCUACUAAUAGACAUAACUGUAAUCAAGAUUCUUGAAUACAUGAUAUAAUCCAUUAAAAAGCUAAAUUAAAGAGAAAUAAACCCUAAAAUAAGUGUUUAUCAGACCCUGUCAAUGUCAAAAGACAUCCAAAAAUCCAUAACAACAAGUUUAAGUGUUCGAUUUAUAGGACAAGGUUUUUCACCGUCGGUGGACCAAGGGGCGGGUCUGGGGGUCAUUCCGCUGGGAUGGAGCCCGUGAUGUGGGCUCAUAUAAAGGGGACACUAUUAUAGGUCCCUUAGGAAGCUCCCUAUGCAUAUCACGUACCCCAAAUCUAUUUCCAAGGUCCUACACACGCUGGUGACAUCCGACUUGUCAAAUUUUAAGCUGAGUCAUGUCUUGUGCUUUCAUUGAUACAUUACCAACCUUGUGGUGUUGUUUUUACUUUAUUUAUAGAUUUUAUAUAAUUCAUAUAUGAUAAUAAUCAACUCACUAAGAAUCCUAUAACAUCAAACACCAUGGAUUAAAGCUCAAAAUAACACAACAUCCAUAAUGAUGAACUAGCACAUUGAUCUUUAACUUAUUAUUUUGACUCUUGUAUUGAUUUAAUUGACCCUUGUACAUUUUAAACAAGUUGUUACACACAUAUUUACAUAAUAAAAACCUUUGGAACUCAUUAAACACUAUAGAAUCCAUUAGAACUAUUAAACAUGUUAGAUGAUUACCUUCCACAAUUUUAGUUUCAGUCUUUAGCAUAGAACUUAGCUUAGUUCUACAGAAUCAGGACUGUCAGUUAACAGUCACUCAGUUAUUAGUAAUUAAUUUAUCAGUUACUCAGAUAUCAGUUACAUAAUUAUCAUAACUCAGUACUCAGUUUUAGUAUAAUCUCAGAUAUAAUACACAUGUAAAUACAUAGUAUUCCAUACUCAGUAUGUACAACAGUUUUAGCUAUCUAUGUACUCUGAUUCAAUUACUUCAUAUCAUUUAUCCAGUUACUGUUCAUACACAUGAGCCCAUGUAUAUUAGCCUUAACUUAUCUAGCAUACCAGUACAUUUCACGUACUGAUUGCAUACUGUCUUUUGCGCUAUGAUGUCUCAUAUCAUAGGUUCAGAGGCUCAAGUUUCGGACUGCACUUAGCCAUAUUCAGUUAGAAGUAGCAGUUUCAGUGGUGAGUCCUCAUAUUUUAAAGACAGAGCUACUAUUUUAGUAUUUUAGUAGAUUCAGCAAUUCCUUAAAAGAAGUUAUUUGGGGGCUUAUCCCAUCAACUUCAUAUUUUGAUAAUUCAUUUAGAGACUUUUCAGACUAGACUAGUUCAGACAGUAUUCAAUUUUUAGAUGCUAUUAUUAGUUGCUAUAUUUAUCAGUAUUCAUAUUAUGAAUCUUAUGGCAUUUUAGCCUAACGUAUGCAUUAUUUUAGUAUUAAUAUUCAGUGCUCAUAAUAGGUACCAGUCAUGGGUUUGCUUGUCGUCCUUCAGGGUCGUAAGUACUGUGUUGGGGUGCAGACUUAAGCCGUUAUAGAUGUUUGGCCCGUAUUUAGUUCACCAAGCUAUGCUAAAGGUUAAGGUUAUUUGGGAUAGGCUUAGGUCUGCCCAUAGUUGGUAAAAUUCUCAUUUGAACAUGAGGCAAAGAGACUUGAAGUUUGAGGUUGCAGAUAAGGAGUUCCUGAAAGGGUCUCCCAUGAAGGGAGUGAUGCGAUUUGGGAAAAAGGGGAAACUCCGAUAUGUAGGUCCUUAUAUUAUAUUAUGGAGGGUUGGUAAUAUAACAUAUGAGUUGGGAUUGCCUUCUAGUUUUAGCUCUAUUCACCCAGUAUUCCAUGUAUCUAUGUUGAGAAAGUGUAUUAGUGAUCCAUUUCAUGUUGUGCCUAUCAAGGAUAUUGGUAUUUCAGAUUUUCUAUCUUAUGAAAAGAUCUUGGAUCGUUAGGUUCAUCGAAUGCAAAAUAAGGAUGUGGCCAUAAUAAAGGUUCUAUGGAGGAACCACAAGAAGGAAGAGGCUACAUGGGAAGUUAAAGAGGACAUGAAGUUCAAGUAUCCGCUCCUAUUUUCUUCUCCGAAAGUUCAUGAGAAAGUUAUGUGUUCUUUACAAUGUCUUUGUUUUUAAACAUUGUUAAAGAAAAGAUUGAUUUCUUGGUAUUCUAUUUUCCAUCUUAAAGGUAAGGGUAGAGACAUUUGGGGGUUAAAAUCAUUCUAGUACUACCUCGUUCCAUUAUUCGAGGUUAAAUGAUCUAAGUGGGGGAGAAUUGAAAAAACCUGAGUUAUGACCCUUACAAAUUUCCCAAGUUUGACCUUUUGGACAUUAUAUGACUUGAAGAUACUUGUUGUAUAAUGUGGGUAUGGUUUAGGGUCCUCAACUCAUAUGAUAAUCAUGUGGUUUGGUUGGUUUCUGUCCAAGGUAUGAAUGGAUUUCAUAAGGGUCGUAUAGAUAUGGUACGAGUGGUAUAGUCUAAUUCGUAUGUUUUCCAGUGUGUAAUCCCUUUGAUUCUAUCUUGGAUACGGUUUGAAGGUACUAGUCAUAUGGUAUGGGUACGACUUAGUUAAGAGGAGGCGUAUGGUGGAUAUUAUAUGAUGUCCAACGUACGAGUAGUGGAUACCACUCAUAUAUUGUGGAUAAUUUUGGGGGUGGUGGAGUUUUACCCACCCGCUGGAUUAUUACAGUUUAAGUUAGGGGUAUUUUGGACAUUUCCCCUCUUAACCUCUGCUGACCCCACGACUUAAAAUACUAUUAGGACUUCAUUUACCCUAUUCUUCUCAAUCAAAAACACUUUAAACACUCUCAAGGCUCUUGGUUCAGAAAAAGUUUAGGGCUUCUUCAGUGCAAUCAAUUCGGGGCUUACAAAGGUGGUUUCUCUCUGUACUCUUUGGUAUCUAAGGCAUGUUACUCCUCCCUCAUUGUUUACUCAAACUAAAAGCAUGUUUUCAUGUAUGGUUUUCAUGGUAUUGAUGUUGUAUUAUUUUUUUUAAUUAUGUUGAGGCUUUUGGUUGUUCUUGGUUGGAUAAUGUUUUCCUAUGUUUUAAUUAUUAUUUUCAUGUUAUAUUUAUGGUUUUGAACACAUGGUUGCAUAGGAAUGGUUAAUUGGUACUUGGUUUUGGCUUUGGAAACUAUAUUCCCUCAACAUGUUAAGUGCCUAUGAGAAUGCUUGUCACAUAGCUUGGCUUUUAUGAAAAACUUUGUAUUGCGUGAUAUGGUAAUGGAACUUACAGUAGGUUUAAAUGGUUAAAUGUUAAAGCCUUGGUGGCCAUGGAUUUGUUUUAACUAAAAAACCUUGUGGGGUACAUGAAAAUCCCCCAAGUGAUUUUAAUAAUGGAAACUAUGGGGUACAUGAGAAUCCCCUAAGUAUUGGCUAAUGACAUUGCUUGCAAGCUAUAGUCGAUAUGACGAUACCACUUCAUAAUGGCCUUGGUUAUUAAUACAUGGAAUUAGUGGUUUGGUUAUGUGCUAAAGGUUUUAAUUGGGAGAUAAUGGCAGGUUGUGAUAGCUAACCAUGAAGGUGUAGGUGCAAUAGAUGGAUAUUAAAAACUCAUGUUUGCCAACAUGGGGGUUGGCCAUGGUGACCAUAUGUUUGUUGGGUUCCCAAGAAUCCCCUAAGUUAUGCUUGUAUAUAUGUAUCACGAUGGGUGAAGAGUACACGGGAAUCCCCAACCAUUAUGAUAUCUCUUGUUCAUGUGGCUACACGUACUGGGGCCUGUUCAUGGGGGAACACUGGACCCACAUAGCUCGUGGGUGGUUUUAGGAUAGUCAAGCAACACAACCAGGUUAAAGAUUUAAAUUCAUGCUAAACCAAGUUCCCUUUCCCGACAAGGAAUAUAUAUAUAUAUAUAUGGAUGGAUGUGAUUGCAUAUGAUUAUUUACUUGGUUUCAAAUGUUGACAUUAUUUUAUCCUUACUCCUGAGUACAUGCUAUCAUUCACCCGCUAAUCCAUCUUAAAGUGUUGUAUCCCUACGUGAUGCAGAAGCCUGCCAUACUACUCCUCCUACUCAUUGAUCUUGGAUUCGGGGACAACUUAGAGUCGGAUUGAAAUGGUGAGAUUCCAUACUCUAGAAGGCUUUAUUUCAUGUUAUGGAUUUCUCUACAUUACUUCCAUGCUUUUAUUAUUUCUUAGGCUUUGGUUUUUGGUUCUGGUCAGGGGCAUGUCCCGACCUGAUGUUGUUUUGAUUUUGGAUAGAGGCUUUGUAAGACUAAUUUGGGUUGGCAUAGGCAUUGUCGAUAUUGGUGUUAGCCUUGUCAUUGGUAUUGGUAUUGGGGAAGACAAUGUUUGACUGUAUUUGAUUUUGAUUGUUCCAUAUUGUUAUGUUAUAUUAUUUAGAUUCAUCUAACUUAAAGUGUAAGGUGGUAAUGGCUCGGUGCUAGGGGUGGUCUCCGGUCUCGAAUGGGGCUUGAGGCACCCAAUAUGACUACGCCCUGGCUCGGGUUGUUUCAUAAGAGGUGGCCACUGAAGCAGCAAGGGACCACUUAAGUGGUACCUUUACGGGCAUCUAAAUUUCACUAAAGAGACACUAGGUCGCUUAAGAGGUCCAGUAUUUGCUUAAGAGGUACCCGAAUACGUGGGAAGGGUAUAAAAACCCUACUUAACCCGAUUUCUCCCAUUUUUCUUCUAUGUUCAAGUGUGUUGAACCCUAAAAUGUGUGAAAAUUUGGUAGAAUCAUUGGUGGGUGAUUCUGGAUCCCUUGUUGACUUAAAUUACGCAAUUCUUCUUUGAAUUUUUGAUAAGUUUCAUCAAAUUCUAUAAUUAAUUUCUCCAUUUAAUUCAAAAAUACCUAGAAUAUUGGUGGGGUGAUUGUAGCACCAUGUAAUAUCGGAAUUCACCCAUUUUUUAGGAUAAAUGUUCCUUGAUUAUAGAGAGAUGUUUUUUCGGUUUCAAAAGUAAAACUCACAAACGAGCCUCACACAAUAUUUUACAUAAUUUUGGACCCGAAGCACAUUAAUUCAAUAUGGGUAUCAUUGUUCUUGUUUUGAUGAGUAGAUUAUAAUUUUGAUAGCGUGGCAUGUUGCGGAAGCUUCUCAAAAAUUCUUAUUGAGCUUCUUUGGUGUCCAUGUAGGUUAGGUUUACCCUCUUUAUUAUUGAGCUAAUUCGUAGUAUAAUUAUGAUACUAUACUAUAUAUAGGAUGGAAUUUAGGUAUUGGAAGUAUGAUUGGUAUGAUUAGUCUUAUUUGGAUUGUUUAGGCUAUCUUGAAACCGUAAUUUAGGCUUAAUUGACUUAGUUGCUCAUGUUGUAGGUAGAAUUUGUAUCUUAGGAAUAUUUAUAACUUACUUAACAUCUAGAAGUGAGUGUAGAUACCUUAAUCUAGUCUCGGGUAGAAUAUGCCUUAAAAUAGAUUUAGGAGAUUAAAAGUAGGCCCCUCCAACCCAUCUUAUGCAUGGACUUGUAUUAAUACUUGUAGACUUAUAUACUCAUGUUAUGUCACAACUCAAUUUCUCAGGUCAUGAUGGCGCCUACUAUGAUCCACCAUAGGUAAGUCAAACCCAUAGUCCGGAACGACUAGUAAUGGACUACUAAAUAAAUUAAGGAAAGAAUAUGGAAUAAGUAUAACAAAAGUGCAAAUACAUAUAUAAAUCCCAAAACCUGGUGGUAUCAGUACAAGAGCUCUAAUAUAAUAAGGGUAAAAGUGAAAUAUCAAGGAAAAUACACUGAUACAACUUAUCUCGGAGUAUAACAUAUAGACUAGUUUAAUACAUAAGAGGGAGAAAAGUAUUACUCCAAAUGUUGGGAACUCACUCUGUAUAUCUGGACUAUGGCUCCUCCACACAACCCACACAUCAAUGGAGAUAACCCGUACUAUGACCUGUAAGCUGCAGAAGAGUAGUAUGAGUACCAAACGAAUGGUACUCAGCAGGCAACUGCCAACUGAGCUCCACAGAUAAGACAGAUAUAUAAAAUAAUAAACAGAAUGAAAACUACACUCAAGAGUCCAGAAAUCAUAUAACAAGCCGAUGAUAUAAUAAGAAAACCGUAUCAUGUUCAUGUCCAAUAGACCAACAUAAUAAGGUUAACUAAGUAAUAAGGAUGCACUAUCUUAUUCAAGUCAUACUUAGGAAUCUCAAUACUGUACCGUAUAUCCUUAGCCAAUAUAUGAAUAAAGAGUGGAAGAAGAAUAUAUAAUAAUAUAUAAUGCCAAUAACAAAUAUACAAUAUGAACAAAUGAAAGAAGGGAUAUACGGUAUUACCAUAGCUACAUAUAGCUAAAUAUAUAUACGUAUAGUUAUGAGGUCAACUCAAAGCAUAACCUAAGCAUCAUGUGUUCAUUUUAAGACCUCAUUAUGAUCCUAUCAGGAUUUAAUACUAUCAUACUCAGGGUUUCUAAUCCAUAUGGUUAGACAUGAAAUAAUCACGCAUAAUAAUACAAUCGUAAGAUAAAAGAGGCCAAACAUAUAACUUAAAGCUCAAUAUUGAAUUAAUGACCAAUCUGUCAUAAACUAGCCAUAAUAAUGAUCAUCACAAUGAUAAUAACAAUAUCAAUAACAACACAAAUAACUGGUUAUUUUGGACAACUAAAUACUUAGCCAAGCCUAUGCAUACCCCCACCGCCUCAGGCUCGGAAGGUUUAAUCAACAUACAACAACAUAAGGCAUAUUCAUCACCCAUAUCUAUGCAACCAUCCCAUACCAAUUGAUAGACAUAGGCACAUACUGGUGAUAGGUGAUGUGCAUGUAAGAAUGAAUGCAAGGUACAUAAUCAACAUCACAAUCUCAUCAUCAUAACCAUCUCUAUCAUCAUAAUUAACCUUCAGCCUUUUCAGGUAUCAAUAUCAUCAUAGCAGUAUCUUCCAACCUUGCCUGAUAGCAAUAUCAUUAUAACAACAUCCUCCGGCCUUGUCGGGUAUCAAUAUCAUCAUAAUAGUAUCCUCCAUCCUUGAAGGGUAUCAAUAUCAUCUUAACAGUAUCCUCCGCCCUUAAGGGGUAUCAAUAUCAUUAUAACAGUAUCGUUCGGCCUUGUCAGGUGUCAAUAUCAUCAUAACAAUAUCCUCCGACCUUGUCGAGAACUAAUAUCAUCAUAACUCUCAAUACAUAUAUAUAGAUAUAUAAUAGGUGCAUGGACUUAAGCCGUGGUUAAAAGAGCAUAAAUCUGUUAGUUUGUUUCCCAAAAUGAUCUUUGAGACUAAAUCAUUGUACAAAUAUAGAAAAGGUCAGAAUAUCUCACGAUCGGAGUAAAUAAUAGUGGCAAGCCAUGAAUCAGAAUCUGUCUCGGUCAAAUCUUUAAAAUAAUAUUUUUAACCUCUUUUAUACGUAUAAAUAUACCAUUUAGUUAGACAAUUAUUAUAGUAAAGAAAUUCAUUGUUAAGGUGAACAGUGGGUUUUAACCCUUAUUUAGGAAAAAUCGUGAUAAAGUUGUAUUUCAGCUAGGAUCAUAUUAAUACCGAUAUAAUAAUCGUGAAUGUACCAAAUCUAUGUAUGCCAUCACUAGUAUUCAGUUAAUAAAAUCAUAAGCAACAUAAACAUAUAUGUAUCCAUAUUCUACAACCGUUUCCUUUACAAGAAUAAAUACUUCCCGAAUAUCCAACCAAUAUCAUAAUACAUCCCCUGGCCCAAUAAUAUGUUUGGAAUAAUCACAACAUUAUAAUCGCAGCCUUAGGCCCAUAAGAAUAUUUAAAGUUAAUAUUGAUAAUUAUAUUUAUAAGCCAUAGCAUAUCUAUAAUUAUCUCACAUAUAGGAGGUAUCUCACAUCAGGGAGGCAUCUCAAAUCUAGGAGGCAUAAUAUCAAUAAGCAUAUCACCUCUAUUAGACAUCUCAUAUCUAUAGGUCAUACAUCAUGACCAAGCGGAAAAUCAUCUCCAUAAGCCCAAUAAUUAUAAUUAAGAGAAAAAUCAUCUCUAUAGACCAAAUAUCAUAACUAAGGGAAAAAUAUAUCUCUAUGGGCCAAAUAUCAUAACUAAUAGGAAAAUGCAUCUCUAUGGGCCAAAUAUCAUAACUAAGAGAGAAAUGCAACUCUUUGGGCCAACUAUCAUAACUAUGAGAGAAAUGCAUCUCUAUGGGUCAAAUAUCAUAACAAAGGGAAAUGCAUCUCUAUGGGCCAAAUAUCAAAACUAAGAGGGAACUGCAUCUCUAUGGACUAAAUAUUAUAACUAAGAUGAAAAUAUAUCUCUUUGGGUCAAAUAUCAUAACUAAGAUGAAAAUGCAUCUAUAUAUGUGCCAAAUAUGAUAACUAAGAUGAAAAUGCAUCUCUAUGGGCCAAAUAUAAUAACUAAGACGAAAUAACAUCUCUAAAAGAUCAAUACCAUAUCUAAGGAAAAUUAACAUCUCUAUAAUCCAAUAAUCAUGAUCCAAAAAAAAUCAUCUCUACUAGGCCUACUAUCCAUAACUAAGCCCACAAGGGCUAACACAAGUCUUGGCCUAAGUGGGUAGAUGAUCUUACUUAUAAUCCUCAAUCUCCAUAUUUAUGCAAACUACAUGCAAAACUAGACUAAGGUAUCUAGUUCAACUUCUAAAUGUCAAUUAAACCAUAACCAAUCCUAAAAUAGGAAAUUCAUCUAGAAACAUGGGCAAUUAUGUCAAAUUCUAUGCUAAGAUACGGUUUCAAGAUCACUAGACUAGCCCAACCAAGGUCAGUCAGACUAACCAUGAUUACAAAACUUGGACCAUAUCCCAAACCUAGCAUCAUAACAUUUUUAUACUACAAUGUAAUUCAAUCUAGAGAGAAGGCAAUAGAAUUCUAAAAGGGUCAUAGACAUACUAUAUUAUGGGUCCAAAACCCUCAUCCAAUUUCCCAAACACCAUUAAUCAAUACUAGGUUAUUUAUUCAUAAUCAAUCCUAAAAUCCAUAUUAACAUGCCAUACAUAACACACAUUAUCUUCGAAGAAGAGAAGGUAAAAGCCUACCUCAAGGGCGAACCACAAAACCUCACAUCAUGCACUAUAUGCUCGUCUUCACUUCACAAUUUCCAACUGUCAUCAUGAUAUCAAAAAUAUAAUCUAAUCAUCAAUACGAUUCUAAAAAUACCCAUAUUUCAGUAUUGUGCUUCGGAUCCAAAAACAACACCAAAAACCUCAAGUGGGUUCCAAGUACGAAAAUUGCAUUUUCGAGGCCAACCUAAUGCUCAUACAUCACCAAUGAAUCAUAACCCUCAAUUAAUGGGUUCAAACAAAUCAAAUUUAUUGAUAAAUGAAGACCUAAGCUAAAUUGAGAUUUUGGAUCAAAAACUAUGCAAUUCACCAAUAAAGAAAUGAAAUCUUACCUUAAUCCGGAUGAUAAUCAUGAUAAAAGAUGUUUACCAAGCUCCCUAGACUCCCACAAGACUUAAUUUUGAGUUAUCAUAACCAUUUAGGAUUGUAGGCUCUCAAAGAUGAAGGGAAAAUGCCCAAAUUCGCGACUUUAGGGUCUAUUUAUAGACCCCCUCGGCAAAGAGGUACGGUAUCUCUGUGACAGCAAAGUCAAAAACUUAUUAAUAACAUCACUCAAUAGUAAAAUUUGAGUGUAAACCACAUUUCAAAUCCAUUAGAAUCAUUAAAACUUUCAUCCAAGAUCAUUUCGGCAAAAAAUGAGGCCCACAUAUAUAGCUCUACUUUUUCCUAAAAUCCGCUCAAUAGCCCAAAAUAAGUUUAGAAGCCUUGGGAACUAAACCAAGGGUCUUCCUAACCUAAAAUCAAUCUUUUGAAUGUGGUGGAUAAGUUGAAUUUUUAAUCUAAGGUCAUUUCGACCAAAUAUGGAUCCCAUACCCAUAUUUUGAUUUUCUAACUUUCCGACCAAUAGGUCGAAAUGAGCUUGAAUACAUUGGUACCAAAACCAAUGGUCUACCCAAAAUAAAAUCAAUAUUUCAUAUCUGCUGAAACAGUCAAAAUUUUCAUCCGAGAUCAUUUUACCAAAGUUUUUUAUCGAUGGUCAUUUGGAAUCAAUGAAGAUAUCAAAAUAGAAAAUUGACUCUAAAAAUCAAACGAAUUAUUUGGUAACCAAACCGUCAGUCCCAGCAAGUCAUAAAUGACUUGAAAAAGCUAUGGAAGAUAAGUGAAAACAUAGAAAAUAACCGGAAGGGUCAUUACAUGUUAUACCUUUUGAAAUGCUUAUUUUGGGUCUUUUAGGAGAUUAAAUAUUUAAUGAUUAUGCUAAUUUGAUAUAUGAGAGUUGGUGCUAAUUUUGGAUAAAACCCAUUGGUUUAUUGAUAUGAUUUAUUAGUAUGGUUUAUUGAUAUAGUUUAUUGUUAUGAGUUUUGGUUCAAGUCCGCAAUUGAUGAUGAUAUUGAUGAUACGAGUUCGGGUUCAAGUCUGACAAAUGAUGUUAAUACUAUUGAGGAUGUUAUGAUGAUGAUGAUGAUGAUAAUAAUAAUAAUAAUAAUAAUAAUAAUAAUAAUAAUAAUAAUAAUAAUAAUAAUAUGAGUUUUGGUUCAAGUCCGGCAAAUUCUAUAAUGUUGAUACUAUUGUGGAUGUUAUGGUGAUGAUGAUGAUAUAAGUUCUGAUUUGAGUCUGGUAUUAAUAGUUAGCCAAGAUAUGAUAUGGUAUAGAUGGUUUAAUGGCUAUAGAUGAUAUUCGAUAAAGUUAUGGAUCUUUAGUUUUUUGUUUUUCUUUGAUUGUACCCUCAAGCUUAUGUGAGCCCCUAUUGGGUUAUUUAUUUUUCACACUUUCUGACUUAUGAAGGCCAGUUUUGUAGUAUUAAUUAUGCUUUUUUUUUAUUUUAUGUCUGUUCUGAUCACUUAUUUACAGUGUUGGAGCUUAUUUUUAGGUUUUUCCUUUUACCUUGACUUAGCUUAUUUCAUCUUUUAUCUUAUCGUAUUUAUAUCAUGAUUUAGCUCAGUCGGCUGAUGAUGCCUACUGAGUACCCAUAGUUUUGAUACUUAUACUAUAUUUUUGUACCUUUUUUAUGCAGAUCUGAGUACUUAUAGCCAUCACUGAUGUGACGUUCGUGCUGAGUUGAUUUUGAAGAUAGGGUGAUAUCUUGGAGUCGGAGUUGCCAUUUUUCCUUCUAUUAUCUGUGUAUAGUCUUUUAGUUUCUGAGACAGAUUGUAUUAGACUAUUUUCGUACUUAUGUUCCAUUUAUAGUAGCUCUUGUACCGAUACUACUAGGUCGUGGGAUGAUUGUUGAUCUUAUAUCUAUCUAUUAGACUAUUAUGAUUGUCUUAUUGUUAUUAUAAUCCUUUUACUUGUGAUUUUAGACUUUUAGGCCAUUUUCCAACAAAUCAGCCCAUUGUUAAUAGCUCUGAGCUACGAUUUGAAUAACCUACUGGUGAAAUAAAGUCGAUGCCAUCAUGACUCAUAAAUCAGGUCAUGAAAACUGUCACAUGUGAUUCUAGCAUCGUGCAUAGAUAUUUAUGUCAACAAAUAGAAGAAAAAUGAGUAACCUUUCACAUAAAUAUUUAAAAACCAUUUUGAUUGUAGUAAUAUGAGUAUAAAAUUUUUUCAUAAUUUUUAGUAUCUAAAUAAUAAUAAUAAUUAUUUUGUUUGUCAAUUUUCUUGAAACUUAAAAAGUUUCUUUUGUGGAUUCACUACAAUCCCAAUUUCAUGAAGAAUAGUUCUUCAUGUCGUAACAUAUUAGCUUUUUCUCAAAGCUAUCAAAUACAUCUGUGACAAAUUUAUGUAGCCACACAAUAACAUUUAUAUUUGGUCAUGGUCACAACCUUUAUAUGACAUAAUUAUUUCUUUUCUUUUCCAUUUGAUAGUUCAUAAUAGAGCAUGCCAUACCAAAUCUAACAAGAAUUAUUUCUUGCUUUUAUAGUUUGAUAAUCAGAGACGCAAACCUCCCGUAGAGGUGAGUAGUGGUAUUUAUCCAAUCAUAAUCACAUUCUUAUUUUUCAAUUUUAUCACAUAUUGAUACCUUUAAUUUCAAGAAUGGCCUAACAUUUACAUACUUAUCACAUCCCAUAUUCUCUUCAAGGAAUGGAGUAAUAAUUGUACAUACUUCAUAAAUUUUAUUAUAGUCUCAAUGUUAUGUCUUUAUAUUUUCUAUAUUACAUGAUUCACCUCAACAUCACUUUGAAAGAUUAAAUGUACCACCACUUUAUAUUCUUUUAAUGGGGGACUUUUAAUAUUUAUCAAAUUAGGCCGCUUGACAACCGUGUGCCCAAUAUAUACCUUUUAUACCAAAUUGAUGGUAAAUAUUACCUUCACUUUUUAAGGUCCAUUUUAUCAAUCUAUAAUAUUCUUUAUUUUUACCAUAAUUAUGGUUAUUAUAAUUUUGUUCCUUUACAUCCAUAUAUACAAAAAAUAACUUAUUUUUCAGACUUAUUAUUCACUACUACUACAUCCACAUCAAAGAACGGAGCAAAUAAAUGUGUGGCAGAUCUCAUGAUUUUUCAUUGAAAGUUUAUUUUGCCCCCAUCAUUGUUAUGAUCAAUAUAUUUCAUUUGAACUUAAACCUAACAUCUUACCAAUAAAUAAUAUGAUAGGCCAUAAUUCGGUGGGACUUAAACAUCUUAACCAUAAAAGACAUACUAAGCAAUAAUUCAGUGGACUUGAACCCAACAUGGUGCAUCGAGAUUCCAACUUAAUGUCUUAUUCUCUCGGUGUGAUAGGACUUGAAUCUACCAUAUUAUCCUCAACCAAUGGAACAAUAGGCCACAGUGCACUAGGACUCAUGCUUGGUCCAUAGUCAUUAUCAUAUGAUGCAACACAAAGUGUAAUCUGAUGAGUUUAUGCCCUCUUUGCAAUUAUGUAUUUAUAUACUAAGAUAGUGAAAAGUAAAUACCUUUAACAAAGGAAAUUAAGUUGAUGUUUCAUAUUUAUAGUGAGUAACAAGUUAUGCUUUGCCUCAUUCUUCCUAUCCUACAACCAACAAUAAGGCUUCACCAACACUAUUAGUCUCCAAAACAAAAGCAAAAUCAACUAGAACAUGACAAACAAGUAAAUAAUACUUAACAAGAACCCUCAUAUAUGACUAGUUAAAACACCAAAAUAAUUAUAUCUGCUCCUCCAUUAAAGAUAAAGUGUAAAAUUAACUGUUUUUAUCUAGAUCCAUUAGUAUUCCCAGUAAUAUAUAUUUGCAAUUUUAUUAUAUAUGAUUAAUGAAAAUAGUGUAGUCUUUAUAUGUUUAAUUAAUGUCUACCUUAAUAAGGAAACUUCAUGAUUGAUGAAUUUAUCCAAAUCACACAAUAAUAUUUAUCCAAUUCACUAAAUACUUACGUAAAAAAUUUAUGAAGAUAAUAACAUGUCAUAAUAAGCAAUAUUUAAUUUCAUAAACAUACUAACAAUAUAUGUUAAGCGUACAUACAUAGACUAUCUCAUUUAAGGUAUCUUUUAAAAAACAUGCAUGCCUCAUACAGAGACAAGGAUAACCUUUACUUAUAGUGCUUAAAUCUUUGAUGUAUUAAUUUAGCCCAAUAUUUUGACAAGGGAUUGGCUUUAAAUGAGGAUAUUUCGUGCUAAUAAUAUGUUUUUAAACUAAGAGAACAAUAUAAGUAAGAAAAUAGAUAAGAAAUAAUAGCUCAAGAGAAGAGAGUUUUCUAUUCUUUCAAUUGUUCAAGUGUAUCCAUUCCAUACCAUAUGAACCCUCGUGCCUCUAUUUAUAGUGUUACCUAGAGACACAUAAAAUAUUAUCAUAAACAUGAUAUUAAGGAGUAAGAUCAUGGAGGAGGUGAAAGACAUAACAUUUAGGAUUUGAGAUCAUGGAGAAGGUGAAACAUAAUGGUGAAGAAUGGUGGGAAGAUGGAAGGAUCGACAUAUAAAAUGUUGUCAUAAACAUGACAUUAAGGAGUCAGAUCAUGGAGGAGGUAAAAGACAUAACAUUUAGGAUUUGAGAUCAUGGAGGAAGUGAAACAUAAUGGUAAAUAAUGGUGGGAAGAUGGAAGAAUUACAUUAAGUGGACAUCUACAUAAAUAAUAUAUUUUAUAACAAUAAUUUUCAUAAAUUAUAAUUUUGAACCUAUUGUUAGACAAUCAAAUUUCGAGACCGAAAAAUAAUAGUCGAGAUAAAAAAAAUAUUUCAAUAAUAAUUUUAUUAAUUUUAGUAAGUGAGUGCUACAAUCUCUAUGAAUCCUCUGAUUCAUCUUUUCAAAUAUAAAUUCAAGGGCUUCGAGCUUGAUCUUAAAUUUGAACUCAAUUUGCAGAUUUGAUUUGACUUGUACUUAGAUUCAAGGGAUUUUGGGCUUGUUCUUGAAUCUUGUGGUCUUGAUAUUGAAUCUUGAUGAUGAACUGAAUUUGAAUGCUUGAACUUUGUAGAGAAGUUAUAUCUUUUGAUCAACGAGUUCUUUCUUGCUUCUUAUUAGAGUUCUUGGUCCCUUUCUAUGAAUAAUGAGACCUCUAUUUAUAGUUGUGAGAAGUGAAGAGUCAUGGUAAAGAUAGACUUCUUUUGACCAAUCAAAUUUAAGUGACAUGAUGCUUUUUCAUGGACUUUGAUUUCACUAGGCCUGCUGCAUCAUUUUGACAUGUGGCAUGACCUUGUUAGAUCCUUAACUUGACUUGGCAUUCCAUGUCAUUAUAUACAUGGCACUUAUUUAGGCCUCUAAAAUAUGACAAUAUCUUGGGAUUAGCAAAGUGGGCUCAUCAUUUGUAGCCCAAAUCAAUGGGCUAGCCUGAUAAAAAUUGGACAUUAAUUAAAAUCUUACAUAUUUGUUCUUAAAUAAUUAAUCCAAUUAUAUAAAUUCACAAUAUUUAUUUGGAACUAAUAUAUUUUGAAUUUAAUAUAAUUUAAAUUUUGUACGGAUAUUAAUUUAAUAAAAAAAAAUUUGCCCACAAAAUAUUCCCUACUUCAAGGCUGGUCGAGUGUAUAUUUUAGAGACUAGACUUGAAGUAUGAUUAUUUAAACAUGCUUUCUUCGUGCUUCAAAGAUUUUCAUACAUAUGAAUACCCAUUUCAUUAGUUGAGAAAAUUUAAAGUUGAACCAUGUAACUUACAAAUUGAUAUUGCCUCUAAAAAAUUCUCUCUUUUUUAGUCCUGAUUUAUUUCAUCAAUUUCUACACUAUGACCCAUUGGUGAGAUAUGAUAUCCAACUCCAAUAAUGAAUUUCUUAACGAUGUCUACUUCUAGGAUAUAUUGAAUUUGUCAAACUUCAAAUAGAUUUUGGAAAACUUUUUACGGCCUUGCUUAAUCAAGAAUAAAACCCUUCCAAUUUUAAUUUAUAUUGGAGAUGGAAACAACCUUCAAUUUGAAUUCAUAUUGAAGAAUGAAACAACCUCCAAUUUGAAUUUAUAUUGGAGCUGAAAACUCUUCUAAUUGAAUUUAUAUUGGAGAAGGAAACAACCUUCAAUUUGAAUUUAUAUGUAAGAAGGAAACAACCUCCAAUUUGAAUUCAUAUUGGAGAUGAAAACUCUUUCAAUUUAAAUUUAUAUUGAGAAGGAAAUAGUCACUCUACAACUCUAUAAAAGGAUGUAGGUUCCCCACUUUUUCAAUAUAAAUUUGUGGGUUUCCAAGCCAUGAAUAAUGUUGAGGUAAUUUCUUUUCCUUCUGCUUUUCUUUUAUUUUUUUGUCACCUUUUUCCAUCCCAGCAUGUUAGUGGUAGAAUUUCUUUAUUUCAUUGUAGGAAAAUCAAAAUAAUGAACCGUUUGAUAUUCCUGAAACUAAAAUUCAAGAUCUUUAACAUAUAAAAAAUUUAGAUUUAAAAUACUUUAAUAUAAUUCUCUAUAAUUUUUUGAAGUUAGAUCUAAAUUUUAUCAUAAUGAAAAUUUCAUAUUUGUGCGUCUUUGCCAAAACUUUCAUAUAUUGAAGUAGGAAAGACGAAAUCACAAUCGCUUGAUUCUUGUAAAACAAGACACAAAGAUAUAAUAUAUAUAUAUANNNNNNNNNNNNNNNNNNNNNNNNNNNNNNNNNNNNNNNNNNNNNNNNNNNUAUAUAUAUAUAUUUCAUAAUUUAAUACCUCUGAGAUCUUUUCAGGUACUAUCCUACAAUCAGAAAUGGAUUUUGAUGCACAAACAACUUCAGAUUUGUGCGGUGACACCAGAAAAUUUAAACGUUAAUAUGGGAGUAUCGAAAUCAUGAUCCACUUGAUUAUAUAGAUGCCAGAAAUAAGAAUACAUAACAUAUCCAAGAUUUGAAAUUUAUGAUCUUCAAAAUUUUUCUACAUAAUUUUUGAAGUUGAUCCUAAAUUAUGUUCAAUAGAGAAUUUUAGAUUUGCAUUGCCUCACAAAAUAACUUACAUCUUGAUGCAGAAAUGUCACCAUCAAAGGGUAAUUUGAUUAUUGCAAACCAAAUUUUGAGGAUUUUUUCUCACCAUAAUAUUUUGUCUCAAUCCAAAUUGGUGAUUUAUGACUUUCAAGUUUGAAACAUCUAGUCAGGUUCCAAUCUCUCUCCUACUUGUAUUUUCUUUGUAUUGUCUCUUUUUUUCUUGUAGAAUCAAAGCCAAUAACAAUGUGAAACAAUCGGCUUAAGGUGAAAGAGUUUAGCUUUGCCUCCAUCAUCUUAAGACCUGAUCAAUUUUACUUCAAGAUGCUGGCUAUGCAAGAAUUGGCUUAGGGUCCGAGAGUUUAACUUCGCCUCCGUCACCUUAAGACCAGACCAUUUUGCUUCAAAAUGGUGGCUAUGCAACAAUCAUCUUAAGGUGCAAGAGUUUAACUUGGCCUUUGUCACCUUAAGACCUGACAAAUUUUAAUUCAAGAUGGUGGCUAUGCAACAAUUGACUUAGGGUGCGAGAGUUUAACUUUGCCUCCGUCACCUUAAUACCCGACCAAUUUUGCUUCAAGAUGGUGGCUAUUCAAUAAUAAGCUUAGGGUAUGAGAGUUUAACUUCGCCUCCGUCACCUUAAGACCCGACCAAUUUUACUUCAAGAUGGUGGUUAUUCAACAAUCAGCUUAGGGUGCGAGAGUUUAGCUUCACUUCUAUCACCUUAAGACCCGACCAAUUUUUCUUCAAGAUGGUGGCUAUUCAACAGUCAACUUAGGGUGUGAGAGAUUAAAUUCGCCUCCGUCACCUUAAGACCGGACCAAUUUUACUUCAAAAUGGUGGCUAUACAUAACAAAUUUGUUCAAAUGUCAGCUUAAGGUGCAAAUGGACAAAUCUUGUCCACCUUAAUGCAUAAAAAUUUUGAGAUCCUUUUAUGGAUAAACUCGUGAGAGGCCAGCUCAAGGUGCGAAGGGACACAUUUUGUCCACCUUAAGGCAUGGAAAUUUUGAGAUCCUUUUAGGAUAAACUCGUGAGAGGCCAGCUUAAGGUGCAAAGGGACAAAUUUUGUCUAGCUUAAGGCAUAAAAAUUUUGAGAUCCUCUUAAGGAUAAACUCAUGAGAGGCUAGCUUAAGGUGCAAAGCAAAAAAUUUUAUCCACCUUAAGGCAUAAAAUUUUUAGAUCCUUUUAAGGAUAAACCCAUGAGAGGCCAGCUUAAGAUGCAAAGGGACAAAUUUGGUCCACCUUAAGGCAUGAAAAUUUGAGAUAAUUUUAAGGAUAAACCCGUGAGAGGCCAUCUUAAGGUGCAAACAGACAAAUUUUGUCCACCUUAAGGCAUAAAAAAUUUUGAGAUCCUUUUAAGGAUAAACUCGUGAGAGGCCAGGUUAAGGUGCAAAGCUACAAAUUUUUUUCACCUUAAGGCAUGAAAAUUUUGAGAUCCUUAUAAGGGUAAUAUCGUAAGAGGCUAGCUUAAAAGGACAAAUUUUGUCCAUAUUAAAGCAUGAAAAUUUAGGAGGCCUCGAUUUGAAGACUUGGAGAUUUUGUCAACUACCACUUGCAAACUUGGCGAUUUGGGCGACUCAACUUUCAAAUUUAGUGAAUUUGGCAACUUCAGCUUGCAAGCUUGAUAAAAUUUUCUUACUUUAAACUAUAUACUUGGUGGAUUUGUGGUGCCUCGAGAGACGAGAUAACGAGUGUCUAGUUUCCAGGGGCAGUUGUAUAUUAUGUUAAACUUAUGGUUAUUUUAUUCAUUUCAUGUUUGUUGAGUUAUUUAUAUUUGGAAAUGAAAAAAUAGAUUUGAAAAAAAAAUAUUUUUCUAGAAAAAUAAUCAAUUUUAAAUGCCCAAUCAUGACAAAGAAGGUUCACUACUUUAAUCUUCAAAACCAAAAGAAUAAUCUGAAAUAACCGAACCGAAUUUGUAGAAAGCGAAGCAAAUCAAAUUUGUUUCAACUUGGUUAUGGUUGUCAUUUUUGUCAAUCUGAAAACUGAAAAACCGAAUCGAUAUUAAACAACCAAACUAAACUGAAUCCCGACCCCUAAUUUAUAGGGCCAAUUUUUAUGCCAUUAACAACGAUAAUCUUGUAAGCACCUUAUGAAUAUACUUCUUGUAUGACAUAUGGUUCAUCCCAUUUUGGGGUGAAUUUUGCCCUAGACUUAUGAGAAGUGAUAGUAAGUCUCCUUACUGCAAGGACUUGAUCUCCAACUUGGAAGCACCUCAAGCAAAAUUUUUUUUGAAAGAAUAAGAUAGACAGGCUUGGUAAUAUUUAAGAUUUUGUUUAGCCUCUAGUCUCUUCUCAUCAAGAGUUUUUAACUCUGCAAGAUGCAACUUAGCAUUUUCUUUAUCUGUGAGCCCUUUUAAAUAUCCAGUCUUAAAGAAGGUAUUUGAUGCUCAAGUAGCAGGACUGCUUCAACUCCAAAAGCAAGCGAGUAUGAGGUUACCUAUGUCGGUGUGUGAUUAGUUGUCCUAUAUCCCUAUAAAGCUUCUUCUAUUCGCUCAUACCAGUCUCGUUUGGACUUAGAGAUGACUUUCUUCAAUAGAUUUAAAAAUUCUUAUUGAAUGCUUUAGCUAGGACAUUGGCGGCGGCAUAGUACAUAGAAGACUUAAACUGCUUGAAACCAAAAAGAUCACAAAUCUUAUUCAUCAGCUUGUUAUUAAAUGGCUUGUUGUUAUCGGUUGUUAUGUACAGUGGGAUUCCAAAGCGGUAGAUGAUAUUCACUUAGUUUGCAAUAUUUUCUUUCCUUACUUCCUUGAGAGCAAUAACUUCGACCCAUUUUGAGUAGUAGUCUGUCGCGGCUAAGAUGUACAAGUGUCUACCAUAAGAUUUUGGUAGUGGCCCAACAACAUCCAGUCCCCAAGCAUUAAAUGGCCAAGAUACUAUAGUUAGAUGUAAUACUUCAAGAGGUUGAUGUAUGAAAUUUUCAUGGAAUUAACAAGCUUUGCACCUUCUAGCAUAAUCCAAGCAAUCUUUUACCAUUAUUGGCCAAUAAUAUCCUAUCCUUUAAAUGUGAAAAUGGGGCUUCGAUCCAGAUUGGUGAGAUCCACAAACUCUCGAGUGUGAUUCUUACAAAUCUUGAAUUGAUUCUUCCUCUCCCAAACAUCAUAAAAGUACUCCUUUCUGUACAAAUCUUGAAUUGAUAUUCUGUACAGUGUAUCUUUCUAGUAAAGAAAGUGAUAUACACGACGACGGAUGACAGUUCUUCUUCUUGGUUCCUCUAGAGGAAUACGAUAACACAAGUAGUCAAUGAUAGGCUAUCACCAAUCUUCCUUUACAACUUCAGACAUGACGCUGAGGUGCUCAACCUUAUUUUCUACAUCUUUAUCCUCACUCAGCGGCGGUACUACCCAUUCUUGGUGAAUAGUAACUUAUGUCUAAUUUGGAAUAGUUUGGAUUGAAGCCAAGGCAGCUAAGUCAUCAGCUUACUUAUUUUCUUUUCUUAGUAGGUUUUGGAGGGUCACUUCUCCAAGUCAUCCUAUUAAAUUUUGAGCAUAAUUAUGAUAUGGGCGUAGCAUAGGCUUUCUGACUUCAUAGCUUCCCAAUAGCUGCUUGAUUACCAAUUGAGAGUCACAAAAGACUUUUAAUUGUAGUUGUUUUAUGUCAACUGCCAUCUCAAGGCUGAGCAUUAAUGCUUGAUAUUUAGCAACAUUAUUAGAGCAAUGGUUUGCCAAGGUAAAAGAGUAUGAGAUGACCUUUCCUUGUGGAGUGACAAACACCAUAUACCAGAACCAACUCCAUAUUAAUGUGCGGCACCAUCAAAGUACAUCUUCUAUGGGGGUCUAGAUUCAAUAACCAUUGCAUCUUUAUCAGGAAGUUCAUCAAACAAUUCCCAAUCAUCGGGUAUCGGGUGGUCUGCCAAGAAGUCUGCCAAUAUUUGUCCUUUUAUAGCCUUUUAGGGAUGUACAUGAUCUCAAACUGUUGGAAUUGAAGGUACCAUCUUGCAAGUCGGUCACUAAGGAGUGGUUAUGAUAUUACAAACUUAAUGGGAUUUACCCUACACAUACAAGAUGGACAACAUGAGCUUGAAAUUAGUGCUUUAUCUUUUAGAUUAAGAAGGCCAAUGCCAAAUACAACUUUUCAAUUGGAGAAUAAUUCAGCUCAUUUGGUGUUAUCAUUAUGCUCAGAUAGUAAAGAGAGUUUUCUUUUCCUUUACUAUUUCUUUGUGCCAAUAGUGCUCCAACUGACCAUUCUUAUGCCACGAUAUAGAGUAUCAAAGGUUUUCUAGGUAUGGGCGCCACAAGGACUGUAGGUUUCAUUAAGUAUGAUUUGAUACUUUAAAAGGCCUUACUACAUGCUUGGUCCCAUUCGAAAGGAGCAUCCUUCUAAAGUUAUGGAAAAUUAACUAUAUAAACUUAUUAGAUUAGUUAUUACAAGUUAUAGCAAAACUUUUAAGUUGUCAAGUUAUAGCAACUUUCAUUUUAAAAAAUAUAUAUAAAAAAAUCUUUUUUGUUUUUUUGAAAAUACAAAAAAGUAAUUAAUGAAAAAGGAAAAUUAAGAUUUAAUACAAUUAACAUACAAUUUACCUUACUUAAAUAUAGUUAAACUUAAUUACUGAUCUUUAUCCACCCCCAAAUCCCUCUAACCGUUGUUUUUUCUCCUAUUUUAAUGCUUGCAUUAAGAGUUUCUAUCCUCAUACACUACCUUCCUCUUUGUACACGAUUAAUUUCUGUCAGUAAAUAAAAAUAUCAUAAUUUCGGCGUCAACAAAUUGCUGAGGAUUAUAAUUUGAAAGAAAAGAAAAAAUAAUUAUUUCUUUUGAUAACAAAUAUGAAUUUUGUUAAUUUGUAUUCAAUCAUGAUACGUCAUGGAGGGAGAUGGAAUUCGUCAAGUUUGUUAAUUUUUUUUAUGAAAAUGGAUAUUUUUCAUUCAAAGCGAAUUUAAAGAUUUAUUUUUUUGUAUUUCUUCAAUUCUCUAUUUUUCUGUGUUUCUUCAAUUCUCUAUUGUUACAUUCUCGAACUAAAAGGUCAAGCGCAAGCAGGUAAAAACGAUUGUGUAUUUUUAGUGUAUUUAAUUGGAUAUUAUAUUUGCAUGUAAAUUGGGUAUUUAUUUUUGAGUAUUAAUUUUUUUUUUUUUAAUUUAACAGUUACUAUUUGAUUUGUGUGGUGGGGGACUAUACUUUGUUUCUUCGUUCUUCAAGAAUUAACAAACCAAAGAUUUUUAAGAUAAGAAAGUAUUGUGACAUUCAUACAUGCUCAAUAAAAAAAUUUCAAGUCUUUUUUAUGAAAAGAAAUGGGGUGUUUUACACGGAUACGUUGUCUUCCCUGUAUGUUGCCUUCCCUGUGAUGCUCAAAAUUUUCACAAGGAGAUAAUAUUAUUUAGCAACUUAGUAUGCCCUCAGUGAAAAAAAUAUAAAAAAUUAAAAGGAUAAAUUUUGGAUAGACCUUUUAUUUAGAGAAAAAAAGGUUCAAGUUUCUUAGCAUGAUCUUUGAAUAUCAUGUUUCAUAUCUUAAUGCUUUUGUUAUUCAACUCCAGGUAUUAUGUAAAGAUGACAUUGAAACUUUAGAUUUGUGCAAGAACAUGAUGAAACAAGGUGAAUGGCCACAACUUAUGAUUGUUUUUUAUCCCAAAGAGGGGUAUGUACUUGAACAACCGUUGAAUUUUACUGUGUAUGAUUAAUAUGGGAUGCUUCAUUUGUCGAUUUGCUUUUCAUUUUUCAGAUUUACUGUUGAAGCAGAUGUGUUCAUAAGGGACUGGACAAUAAUUACAGAGUAUGUUAGAGAUGCUGAUUACUUGAAUAACCGUGAAGCUAAUGAUGGAGAUAGCACGAUGACUCUUUUAAGUACUAAUGAUACAUUAAAGGACUUCGUCAUUUGUCCUGAUAAGCGCAGUAAUAUUGCUCGUUUCAUCAAUAACAAGCAUUUGAAAUUCGGCAAUACAUGGUAUUUGCACAAAUAUCAAUAACAUGCUACCAAUAACAAACGAUGCUCAAUGAAUAAAGACAAUGAAACAAAGUCUUGAAAGAUUAAUCGGACUAUUUUGUUGUAUAAUUUUAGGCUUUUUCUACUAGGGGUAUAACCAAACUUAAUUUUUUUGGACAUUAUCUGAAGAAAACAAAAAAACAAAAGUUUAAGAUAUUAAACCAAGGUUAAGGGUGAAUGAAUGUUGGAAACCAAUAGUCAUACUCAAAAGAAGGAAACAUAAGUUGAAAAGAGUGAAUAAUAAUGAGAUAAAGACUUUUAUUGAUAGUUGGUAAAAAUUUAAAGAUCUUGCGUAUGUUUUGGACAAAGAGCUACUGUAAAAUGUGAUGCUCUGUAGAAAAGGGUAAAAAGGAAGGAAAAAAGAAGUUAAAAAAGAUAAAGAUAUAAGACUUCUAUUGGUAAUUAAAGACAGUAAAAUAUGAAAAAGUGUAUAAUCAAAUUAAUUAUUCAAUUUAAUAAAAGUAUGAAAUUAGUUCUUAACUUUACAAAAUAUAUUUACCAUAUAUAACUCCUUAAAUUGUGAACAAAUUUGAUAUUUAAUUAUUAAAAAAAUAUUAAUACCUUAACUUGCCAUAAUUAUCCAAGAUCUUUGAUUAAGAUUGAUAAAUGUUAAAUAUAAGAAAAUAAUACAAAUAAUAAAUAUUAAAAAAAAAUCAAAAAUUUAAUUAAAAUAUUUUUUUUGCAAAAGUUGUUAUAUCUUGUAAUUAUUUCUUAAAUCUAGUAAUUAAUGAAAUGUUAUGCUAUAACUUGUAAUUUACAAUCUAAAAAGUAUAUUUGAGAUAAUUUUCACUGUUUAUUAUUUAUUAUUAUUUUAUUUAUUAUUAUUUGUUAUUUAUUAUUUCAUAUUAUUAUUUAUUAUUUAAUUAUUAUCAUCAUAUAUUAUUAUCCCUACUUUAAUUUAAAUGACAGCCUAAAUUAAAAUUACCGUGCACAAUUUAUUUACCUUUUAGUCCAAUAGUGUUCAAAUUCCUUAUAAUUAUAGCCUUUCUACUCAAUCCAAUACAAUUUUAACCCAAUUCCUUGCAAUCCUAGUCAUUCUACCCAUUUCCUUGCAAUCCUAGUCAGUCUAAAUCUACAUAGUCUUAAAAUUCCAGUCGUUCAUCGAAAUUGAUCGGCUGAGAUUUGAUCUACACCUUCCUUUCCUUUUUAAUCCAAUAACCCCAAAACCCUAAUCUCAUUACCAUUUUUUCAUCCUCCUCCAAAAUCCUCUCUCUCCNNNNNNNNNNNNNNNNNNNNNNNNNNNNNNNNNNNNNNNCCCCCCCGCUCUCUCUAAACCUUUCUCUGCAAAAAGAAAGGAGAAGCGGCGCCGCCUCUCCAUCCCUCCACGCCGGCAGCUAUGCCAUCACCACCUUGGACCCUCCGCUCCGAUCUUCCCAUCUCUUUUCUCCUCUCCCCUCCGGCGACCAACCCAAACGGUCCACGCGCCUCUCCUCCACCCGCAAUGGCCGGCGAUACAGCUGCUUCAGCCCGUUCUCCGACCAGACAACGCCGUCAACACACCUCUCCCGUCGCGUUCCGCCAUCUCCGGAGAGAAUCCAGCCAGCACGCCAGCACCGCUCCAACCCCGCCACCGCGACAACAGCCGCUCCAGCGCCGUCACCCUUCUCCUCCAACCCACUCAGAUCCGGCCUCCACCUUCAACAGUCGAGAAACAUCAACGACGACGAACCAGCUACGCGCCACCCCCAGAUUCAACUAUUAUUUGGUUUGAUCUCCCUAAACUCAAAUUGCAUGUUUGUUUGUUAAAUUAAUUUUUCGUGACAUGUAACUUUGGAUUGUGAUUAAAUUCAUGUAAUUAUUUGUUCAUGUUCAUCUCUGGGUCUGUCAUGUGUGAAAAUGCCUAAUUUCUAUGAGUUAACCUUGAAUUUCUUUAAGCACUUGGACUGAUUUCUUUGCUUGAUGGGUUAUCUCCAUCCGUUAACCUUGACAAAAUUUGUGGCUUGAUUAUAUGUUAUCCGAUUCUCUGCCUCUAAUCGGUGCAUGCUGGACUCGUAAUUACUGUAUACUUGUGUGUUUUGAUGUGAAAAGUUGGUGGGUAUGUCAUUUUGUGUUCUCCCUUUGAUGAUAAAGUUGACAGCAUGUUUUAUAACGUAUGGUAGUAGGAAAUUCAAUCAUGUUAUGACGGAAAUAAGCACCUAUUUGUCCUUUGGUUAUUGUUUGAAUAUUCGAAUAGAUUUUGUUUAUGGUAGCUAACCUGUUUAAUUCCUUGAUUACUUCUAAUUGAUUAUCUCUAAUUGAUUUAUGGUAAAUGGGUGGACAUAUUUUAUUAUUAUUUUAGAAAAUAUUCUUAUUGAGGCAUUUAUGGUAAAUUUGACCUUUUUACAUCCCUGAUUGAUUCCUGACAUGUUCCUUUCCUUCUUGAAAUUGAUUUUGUGUAUCCUUUCUUCCCUUUAUUGUUUGGAAUGAAUUUUUCAUGAUUGCUUAAUAAUAUUUGAAUAUCAAUUUAUGAUAGAUGAUAGUUGUAAUUAUGGAAGGCCUUUUUUUUUUUACCUUAUUGAAUUUUGUGGUUAACUGAUUUUGAGGUGAAAAAUAUUAUUGAUUGACUACAUAAAUAUUUUCCCUUCCUUUUGAAUAAAAUUGAAUUGAUUCAAUUACUGAUAGUCAGUAAAAUGAUUUUAGAAAAACUCUUUUUUCUUUCCUUUUACUUUUCGAAAAGGGUCCAUACCUUUAGCAUAUAUAAAUAACCCUUUUUAUCAUUAAUGGACAAUGAAAACACGGCUCAACUUCUGAACUUCUCAAACUUCCUAAGUUCACAAUUACUCUGUGAGAACAAAAAGACUACUAGCUAUUUGAAUACAAGGCAAUUCCUUUGUUGUUUUAAGAGUCUUUGAUUCUUCGGGGAGGCUCGUUGGGAACAUCCUGCUUUAUUUCGCUGUUACAACUGCUUGGGUUUCUUAUACUUAAUUCUCUCCUCUUACUGCUGCAUACUGGUAAGUGUCUAGAACGAUGUUAUUAAUUAUUUAUUGAGUGCCUAGUGUGUUAGAAUGUAUGUUCUUAGGGACUUCUCCGCCUUGUGUUUGACAUGUCACUUAUAUGUAGAAGCAUGCUGUAGUGUCUCCGCCUUGUGUUUGACAUGUCACUUAUAUGUAGAAGCAUGCUGUAGUGUCUUGUUUGUCUUUGCCUUUGCCACAUUGUUGCUCUACAGGUUGAAAAUUCCGAAGAGUCGCCGGGGUCUUUAAACGGACUAUGUAUUCUUUAGACAGUUAUUUUUCUUCUAAUGUAUUCCGGUUUGUAAUAUUAUUGUAAAGACACUAUUGUUAUUGAUGUAAUAUUAAUUUGGGGACUGCUUUGGGAGGCGGAGAUUUACGUGCUCUAUGAAUGGCGUAGAUAGGCACAACUUAGGUUUUACGUGCAUUUCAUGCUACAUAGGUCACCUAGGCACACAAAUUUAGGAUUAUGCGAUAUUUAGUUCAUUUAUUAAUUAAUUUGAUUCCAUUUGUCAUAUUAAGUAUUAGGCUAAAAUAAUGUUAUUGUGUCAUUGUGUGUCUAGCAUGUUAACGUAAAUUGAGCAUGAUAAAGUAAUUUUUGGCAUAUUAACUUUUAAAAGGAUCCAUGUUUCCUUUAGCAAUUAUACAAUUCUAUACUUUGUCAUGACUUCUUAGUUUGAAGAAAUAAUUUUUUCACAUGUAUUCAGCGCAUAAAAUAUUUCUAUCAUAUUACCAGGACUAUACAUUUAGCGUGUUAUAAUUAGACAACAAAUUAAUUUCAGCGCUUAGAUUGAAUUUCAGCAUGUUUAAAAUGCUAGUUCCUUACAUUUAUAGCAUGUUAAAAUAUUAGAUUUUUGGCAUUUUUGACAUGUUUUCAGCAUGUCAACAUUAAAAUACUGUGCCUUAAUGUUAUUUUUAGCAUGUUUAAGUAACUCUUCAGCAUAAUUAAUUAACUUUCGAGCAUGUUUAAAUCAUGUUACUGUAUAUCUACACAAUUUUAGCAUGUUAUUAUCAUUAGAACAUUAAAUUUUUGUGCAUCUUAGUACGAUUGACACACUUCUAGCAUAUCACUAUGAAAUUCCUGCAAUAGUACAACUUCUGGUUUAUUAAAAUACAUAUUUUGAGCAUUUUACGAUAUGUUUAAACACUAGAGUAGAUAUAUUAUGGCAUCCUUAACAUGUUAAUGCCUUUUAAUAUUUUUAUUGAUUUCUUAUGUUCUCAUUUAUAUUUUACAACACUUAAUUCACAAGCACAUUUUUUGUUCGACACAUUUACCAUACUUUUGACACCUCUCAUUGACACACAAUGAUGUUACAUUCACGAAUCAUAGUCGUCCUUUAUCACUACUUGUUGAACAUUUAGAUAGCAUGUCUAUAGGUUAAUGAUAAUAUAUCGAGUCCUAGGCAGCAUAGUUUUCUUUUAGUCUAGAACAUAAAUUCAAAAUGACAAAGUCAAAUGCCUCUUGGACGAUAGUCGGGAUGUUAAAUAUUACUAAAGAUGUUAGUUUUGUCCUUGUCAUAGAACGUCCUUAGACUUGACAUCCAGCCUAGGUGGGGUGGGAUGGGUAGCCCUUUUCGGAAAUGAUGAUCCCAACAAAUAUUAACGGCGAGGCUAAUGACAUUAUUACUUAUCUAAGAGUUCGGCCUUUGGGUCGGAUGAUGAUUAACAAGUUGGGUUUUUGAUUCGAAUAGAAUCAAAACAUCUCUUUGUUUUAUUCGUACGAUUUCUUUGUCUUUUUAUUUAUUUUACAUGUUUAUUUGGGGUAGCUAGUUUAUUAUAAAGCAGUCCUCUUUUUAUUAUAAAUUAUGUCGUUUCUUUCUCCUCGUUUAUCUUAUUUCUAUAUUUUUAUUUAUUUUAUCACAUAGAUAAUCGACAAUUAGCAUUAACAAAUGAUAUGUGUUUGCUUAUUAAUUAUCUUAUUGCUUAGCUAAAUAGUAAAUUAAAAAUAAAAGAACAGACCUUUAUUUGAUCACAUAGAAUCCCUAUGUAAAGUAUGAAUUUGGCCGGGAACCACCUUUGUGGACCUUGAAAGGUGCCUGAGACCUUCCUUUUGAGGUAAUUUGAACUCUUACUUGAACUCUGGUGAACUAAGACAAAAUGAUAAAAUAGGUUCGUAGUAGCCUAGAUCGGUACCCUAAUGCGCCUUAAUACGUUAGAUGGCGACUCUUCACACCCUUAUCUUAAACGCAUCCCAAGAGUUUGCCAAAUUGAAUCCCACUUUCUGCAAGGAAAGAGGGCCGCAACAAUACCAAGUCUAGUUAUGUCCGAAAUUGGGGUCUUAGGUAUUUGGUUACCUUUGUGGAUGACUUUUCUCUUAUGUCUUUGAUUUACUUUAUGAAAAAUCAUUUGAAGUGUUUUUCCACUUUUGGGCCAAUAUUUUUGAAGCGUUCAGGUAGCAUAUGUUGCAACUAAAUUUAGUACUACUGGUUCGUGUUUACAGAGAGGGUUUUUUUAUAAAAGUGUCUCAUUUUCUUUCAAAAAGCAUUGUUCCACAAUGGUACUAGUAUCUUAUGAAUGUAUAUGUAUGGAAUGAGGAUGUAAUGAUCACAAUCAAUCAAUAUGAAAAUAUCCAUUCCACCCAACACGAAUAUUUAUGUGAGCCCAGAAACCAACUCAAUGUCCCCAAUUUAUGAUUAUCAACUCUAUUUAGGCACCAUCGGAAUAAAUAUGCAUGUAAGACAUCAUUUUUAUCAUAUCAACCCCUACUCAAGUAUUUCUAUCAUGAUAAAGGUAACC